This 44722-nucleotide long non-coding RNA is filed under the name Solanum tuberosum (potato). Its description in RNAcentral is "long non-coding RNA (STUB_LNC007897)". The record is from RNAcentral. Lineage: Eukaryota; Viridiplantae; Streptophyta; Magnoliopsida; Solanales; Solanaceae.
CCAGCUAGCAUUUCUCUUGCGAAUUCUUCAUCAGUCCUCCACGCGGUUUUACUAUCUGCACAAUCAAUACUUAAAUCAUACAAACACAUAAAAGUGAGUGAUCAUUAGCUAGAUUACUUCUUAUGAUGUAACAAAUUGUACCUUUAAUCACUAGAGGAGUUGGAAAUCUCAAUAUUCCUUCACCGUCUGUUCGAAGGAGUUCUUUUAUCAUCUCCAGAGGUAUAGCAGCAGUGAGAGCCUUAAAUAAAGGUCCUUGAGGAAGUUUGAUCCCUCCUUCAUAUAGUCUAAGUACAUCCUCAAAACUAUCGAACUCGUUAGGGGUACCAUCAAACAGGGCAUGUAAUUCAGGGAGGAUGAAUUGAACAAUGGAUUUCAAAGCAUAUGUUAGGAAGUCUGACAUCUUCAAGUGACCAAAACGCUCGUCUCUCGGUACAUAGAUGUCUAAGCUCAGAAUAAGAGGAAUCCUGCUUUCACUUUUAGGAUCUAUACAAAGCAAAAAACAAUAACAACAAUGUAACUGAUCAAAAAGUUGCUUUCAAUGAAACUAAACGCGUUGAAUGGACUGGUAUUUGUGAACGUCUAACUAACCUGUUUGUGUUGGUGGUCUACCAGUUCUUCCUCUCCGAGGAUACGGGUAUUCAGCAGAACCUCCUAAGGUAGUUCUAACAUUUUCUUUACCUUCAUCAGGAUUACCCAAGUCAUUGUAGAUAUCAUAGUCAUAAAUCCUAUCCCACGCCUCGCGCUUUCCAGUUCCAUCUCCUCUUAAUGUUAGCAAUUCAUUUUCUCUGUAUUUUCGCAAAAGCUCUGGUGUUUUACUUGGGAGAUAUGGCUGCAUAAACAAUCAAAACAUUGCUAAAACUUUUGAGUUUGAACAUUUGCCUUUGUUUACAUGCUCAGGGGUCGUUUCGUAGUUGGUUAGAGUCAUCCAGGUAUUAGUAGUAUAUGAAUUAGUAUAAGGGAAUUUAUGUAUAGUAUUAGUUAUGCUUAUUUUUAAAUAGUAAACCAAAUAUUGUAUCGAUUUUAUAUAUGAAUAACUUGCACUACCAAAAAUAUCACUAUAUUCCGACUGAAAAAUGUUCAGUAGCUAUUUUCACAAAUAUUUUUAUUAAAUUGGCGAGAAAAGAAAAAUAUUGUAAUUGUUUCAUAUGGAAAAAUUAAGAAGCUUCCUAGUAUNNNNNNNNNNNNNNNNNNNNNNNNNNNNNNNNNNNNNNNNNNNNNNNNNNNNNNNNNNNNNNNNNNNNNNNNNNNNNNNNNNNNNNNNNNNNNNNNNNNNNNNNNNNNNNNNNNNNNNNNNNNNNNNNNNNNNNNNNNNNNNNNNNNNNNNNNNNNNNNNNNNNNNNNNNNNNNNNNNNNNNNNNNNNNNNNNNNNNNNNNNNNNNNNNNNNNNNNNNNNNNNNNNNNNNNNNNNNNNNNNNNNNNNNNNNNNNNNNNNNNNNNNNNNNNNNNNNNNNNNNNNNNNNNNNNNNNNNNNNNNNNNNNNNNNNNNNNNNNNNNNNNNNNNNNNNNNNNNNNNNNNNNNNNNNNNNNNNNNNNNNNNNNNNNNNNNNNNNNNNNNNNNNNNNNNNNNNNNNNNNNNNNNNNNNNNNNNNNNNNNNNNNNNNNNNNNNNNNNNNNNNNNNNNNNNNNNNNNNNNNNNNNNNNNNNNNNNNNNNNNNNNNNNNNNNNNNNNNNNNNNNNNNNNNNNNNNNNNNNNNNNNNNNNNNNNNNNNNNNNNNNNNNNNNNNNNNNNNNNNNNNNNNNNNNNNNNNNNNNNNNNNNNNNNNNNNNNNNNNNNNNNNNNNNNNNNNNNNNNNNNNNNNNNNNNNNNNNNNNNNNNNNNNNNNNNNNNNNNNNNNNNNNNNNNNNNNNNNNNNNNNNNNNNNNNNNNNNNNNNNNNNNNNNNNNNNNNNNNNNNNNNNNNNNNNNNNNNNNNNNNNNNNNNNNNNNNNNNNAGAACCAGCAAGAUCAGUAAAAUCUAGAGCAUUUUUCUUCAUCAUCACCACAGUUCCUUUAACUUUCUUUGAGUCAUCAGGACCACCAAAUAGUCCACCCGUAAUUUGACCAAACAUGAUGAUGAAUAAGAGAAAAAAUUAAAAGUAUAAAAAGAGAUGAUGAGUUUUUGUUGUGAAAAUCCAAUGGAAAUGAGUCUCUUAUUUAUAGCCAAAAAAAAAUACUAGCUAGCAAGAUAAAGAUAUAGACAAAUCCACAUGUUACAUGUUCUUAACUCCUCUCUUUUUUAUUUGUUGUUGUAAUUUUAUAAUAUAUCAUAUUGUAUUGUUUUAGUGAAUAUAAUGUUUGGAUAGAUUGUAUCAUUUUUUGUCGUUAUUUAUUUUUACACACCUAUUAUUUGAAUGAUAAGCCUAUUAUUUGAAUGAUAAUCUUAAAAAAUUAAAUAGGGUAGAGUGAUUAUAAAAAUGUAAGGUAACUAAAGGAAAAACUAAGAUUAUUAAGUAAUAAUUAAAGAUAAAAAUAAGGAGAAAAUAUUAAGGUGAUGAUGAGAUCAUAUCAAAUCAGUAGUUACACAAAAUGAGACUCUUUGUCCUUUACCUAAGGAUGAAUUUAAACUAUGCGAUACAAUAAAAUUUAAAUAAUGAUCAAACCAAACAUUGUAUUUAAACUAAUAAUACAAUACAACAUGUAACAACAAUCCAAACAAGGUGUAAGGGGGUUUGAAAUAUAAAAAUAUGGUGCUUAAGAUUUGAUUUGAACUAGAAAUUUAAGGUGAAUUUUGAACCUCCUCAGUAAAAAAAUGUAGGUUAAAACUAGGGGUGACAAAAUCAAUCUCAGGUAGCCGAACUCAUUUAAGUUUGGACGGAUUAUUGAACAACCUAUUUAUUAGCUCAACUCAAUAACAAUGGAUUGAUGUGUAAGCCCAAAUGAACUAAUGAAAAAUUUUGUCAAAAUAUUUUUUUGAAAGAUUUUUAAAAAAAAAAAUUUGAUUUGUUUUAUAUAUAGCUUGGGAUAUUCAUGGUUCGAUUUGGAAUGGUUAUUGGCGAAAAUCAAAACCAAAUCAAUAAAGUCGGUUUUAAAUUUCUAAAAUCAAAUCACACCAAAUGAAAAAAAUAACCAUCGGUUUGGUUAGUGUCGAUUUUGUUCGGGUUUUGAGGUUUCUUUCACUUUGAAAGUAAUAAAUUUUUGAAGGCAUACACAUCUCAAUAGACACAAAUACCAAGUACAUGAACAAUCCAUAGGAAAGCUACCGUGGACUCAAUUAAACAAUACUAGAGUUAUAAUAUAUAAAUGUACCAUUUAACUUGGCUUCAACUAACAUAUAUAUAUCCUCCAACUUUGGGUGUGCACAAGUAGACAGUUAAACUUGUAUAAAAUUGAACUAGUAGACACACACGUCCUACAUGACAUAAUACACGUAGGACACCAUGCAAGAUAUGAUAUUUCAAUGUAGGACGUCACGUAGGACAUAUGUAUCUAUUUGUUCAACUUUAUACAAGUUUAAGUGCUUACUUACAGACACUCAAAAUUGGAGGGCAUAGUUAUCAACAAAGGCCAAGUUAAAGGGCAUGUUUAUGUAUUGUGUCUUAUUAUUUCACGAACAAAGUGAUUCAAUUAAGAGAAAGUGUGACUAUAUGAUGUGAGGUGUGAUAGGUAAAGACUAUAGUAAUGGAUUUUGAUGGACUUAAGAGUUUAAUAGUUAGACUAAAAUUUAAUUGUUGGGCUUAAGGAAAUGAAAAGUUAAAGACUUAAGUUAAUUAAAAUUUAACAAAAUAUUUAUAUUUUACUUAUGAAUAAUAUUUAAGCAAUUACAAAAUUUAUAUAUAUAUAAUUUCUUGGUUCGAUUUGGUUAUUUUUGGGGGUAUUUUUUUUAGUAUAGCAUGUUAAAUUAUGUCUUAGGCCUAACUCACACUCCAAAAGUUAGCUCAAAGGGAGGAGGAUUGUCCAAGCCUUAUAAUGAGUCCACCCAUCUCGUUAACCACCAAUGUGAGACUUUUGUCAUUUUUUAACACCCCACCUCACGCCCAGUGCUUAGCAUCUGGUGCAUGUGCAAUUUUUCAAUUUUGGGGCCCCCAACAUUGGGUGAAAUGACCCUGCUCUGAUACCCUGUUAAAUUAGGUCUUAGGCCUAACUCACACCCGAAAAGCUAGCUCAAAGGGAGGAGGAUUGUCCAAGCCUUAUAAGGAGUCCAUCCAUCUCAUUAACCACCAAUGUGGGACUUUUGUAGUUUUUUAAGUAAAACCAAAUCAAAUAGUAUCGAUUUUCAAAAUUUAAAACCAAACCUAACUAACCAAACUAAACCACAUCAAAUGUCAAUUUUUUUAGAUCGGUUUGAUUUGGAUUGUGGGUCAGUUUGAUUUUCUAACCAUACUCAUAAACAAUCUAGCCAUAAUAAAGAGAGAUAAUAAUUUUAUUAGGUACUAAAAUCUUAUAAAAAACAAUUAAAUAAUAAAAACUUAGUAAAAAUUGAAUAAUUGAUUUUGAUGCAAACAAAUUUUAAUUGAAAUGGAUCUUAGCUGAUUUGUUGGCUUGAUCCAUUGUAUCCCGUUCAAUUAUAGCUUAAGCCGUUCAAUUAUCACCGCUAAUUAAAACGGAAAAAAUAACAAUUGGAUAAACAAUUGAAAUUGCUUUCUUAUCACGUGUAUAGUCUGAAUUUUAGAUAUGUAGCAUGAAAAUAACUCGUUUGGUGUGUUUUUGCAAGAAUCAUAGUCUAUCGGAAGCAAUAGGUAAGGUGGACAAUGUAUGGCUUCAUUAUUGACUUUAUAAUCUGUGCCAUUUACAGCCUUACUGUAGUUGGAUUAUUUUUAGCACCAUACCAUGUUAAAAAUAGACUACUUAAAUAUGUUAUCAAAUUUUUAGAAAAAAAUUAUUUGUGUUCAAGGCCCAACUAGCAUUCAAACCAUAUCUUUAAAAAUUAUUUUUCAUAUUCCAAUAUCGUCAUAAUCAUACCUUUCAUUUACCACACAUUUUAAAAUCAAUCAUUAUGAGAAGAAGGAAAAGGAGUGGAAGGUCAUAAAAGGGAAGCAUAAGAGAGGAAGUUAUGAAUGCAAUGAAGGACAGUAAAGUCAUAUAAUUUUCAUCCUAGCCACAAAUUCAUCCUUAGACACUUCUAUCUCUAACCUUCUUAUAAUCUCAAGUUCAAUAAGUAAUUAUCUAUUUAUUCUCGAGAAUCAACAAAAUAGUAAGCAUAAGGUUAAGAGAACAUAAACACUACUAAAAAUAAUGAAAAAAGAAAAUUGACUGACUAGAAGAUCAACGGAUAGGUUCGAUCCAAAAAAUUGAGAAAGUAAAACAAGUAUAUAUAGAUCAAGUUUUACAUUAAAAUUAUUUCAAAUCAUACUUUUUGUAGAAUCUAGAAGGCAUAAUACAUAAAUUGGACCCUUAACUUGGCUUCAAAUUAUAACUUUGAUGUCAAUAUACUAAUUUUGAGGGUACAAAUCGUAUCGCAUGCUAUAUUUAAUUAUUUUGCUAAAACGCCUGCAAAUUAAAUUUCUCUCAAUAUGCAUGGACAAAUCUUGAGGGUAGCGAGGAGGUAUACAAAAAAUUACAUGGUAUAUAUAUAAUGAUUUAUUUUUUAUGUAUACAUAUAGAUUUUGAACCUCCUAGCUAGUUGAGGUUGAUACGUAUAAUUAAAAAUAAUAUCAUUUUUUUAUUUAGUUAACAUAAAAAUACAUAUUUUUUUCUUUAAAAAAGUUGAGGUAUUAGCUUGAAAUAUAACUUUAGUUCAAUUUGAAAAGACUAAAAGAAAUAAAUAUUUAAGCGAGGACGGAGAGGGUUAAUUUAAUUUGUAUUAAAUGGAAUAAUGGAUAGUUGUAUUAAUAAUAUCAUCAGUUUCACCACGAAAUAAAUGCAUGCAUCCGAUAGUCGUCACUUAUUUAGGGGGCGAUAAAUAAUUAAGCGGUUUGACAAAUUAACAAAAGAUAAUAUUUUUUAUUUAUUAUAUCUUUAAUUUAUUUAGAGAGUUACUAUUUUUGAAUAAUGUAAAACCUCUUUAAUGAAUAAAUUGAUUUUGAAAUUCUAUCAACUAAUAGAGGUAAAAUAAUAAACUAACUAUGUUAAUUAUUAUUUUCUUAAUAGGUGCAUCAAGUAAAAGAAUGAACAAAUAAAUAGUAACAGAGGAAGUACAAAAUUUCACUCUGAGGUUUAAAAAAUUCAUUCUAAAGCAUAAAAAUUUUCUUAAAAUUUGCUCACUUUUUUCAGGUAUGAAAACUAUACAAAAUUUGUAUGAAAUCGCCCAACAUUUUGAUUUUUUUUCACAAUUUUAUUAUUAACUCUAUAUGAAUAUAUAUGGAUUUUUAUAAAGUUCAUAUUAAAUUUUUGAAAAAAAACAACACACACAUAACUCAUUACUCAUGUAUGAAAUCUGUUUAUAAGCGUAUAAAUUUUAUGUUAGUUUCUGAAAAUUUAACAUAACUAAACGUCAUAAAAUACAUUUUUCAUACCAUUCAUUGUAAAUUUUAAGAUACUUUUGAUAUAAAUACUAAAUGUAACUUCAAACUUCAAUAAACUAAGACUAAAAUUUAAUUCAAAAUUAGCUCAAAUCUUAUCUAUAAAUAGCCCCAAAACUUAUAUUCGAGAGAUAUCACCUACUCAAAAAUAAAAUUUAUUUGCGAUAAAUUAAUUUAUCAACUUGAGCUUCAAAUCCCUUUAAUAAUUGACGUUGGUAUGAUUUGGAAUUUAUACAUAUUUUAUUAACUCCUUUUUUAAAAAAAAAAUCAAAUAGUAACCAAUCAGUGUGAUGAAAUAGAAGCCAAAGAUGCUAUUGAUUUUAUACGUAUUUUAUUAACUUUUGAAUAAUUUAACUUGUGAGUUUCUUUCUAAAUAUUUUAUUAAGAAAAAAGGAAAACUUAUGGCAUUAUUGAGGGUUCAUAGAUAGUGGAUCAAAUUGUAGGUAUAGAAAAAUUAAGUGAAAAUUUUAUAAAUGACAAAUAUUAGACUAAUAUUUUUAAGUUGUAGCAGUAGAAUAUAACUUUCAAGUUGUAAAAUUAAAAUUUUUUAGGUUGUAACAUUUUUUUAAAAAAAAAAGAUUUUUAAGUAAUUGUAAAAAUCUAUUUUGUAAAAAAUAAAAAGAUAAAAAAGGAAAAUAAAAUGAUUUUGAAUAAAAAAAAAGAAGGGAAAUAGGAGUAUUAAUUAAAUUUGAAUUGAUUGAUGAUAAUUUUUAAUUAGCAUAAAUUAAGGAGAUUCAAACUGAUUAGGAAUAUUUAUCUUCCUUAAUUCACUCUAAUUUAUUAAAAUUAAUAAAAAAAUCUGAUUUAUCCAUUUUCUUCAACGUUUCUCUCUCUUCGUUUUUUUUUGUUUGAAAAAUCUUCAUUUUGUUGUGAUGGACGACUCCUUAUCUAUAUUAAUUAAACAUGGUGGAAGAUGGGAUCCUUCAGGUUAGUAUUGUUUAUGAUUUAUUGUUUGUAUUUGUAUAUUACUAAAAUAUAUAAUAAAUAAAAAAGAGCGAUGAAAAUGUAAAUCACAUUUUGUAAUUUUAUUUUUGUAUACUAUAUUUAAGUUGUGAUGUUCUUUUGUAUAAAUCAACCAUUUAGUUCAUAAUACGUACUAAUUUAUGUGAAGCUGUAAUUAAUGACAUUCUAUGAUUUUGUUAGUACGUUUCUAUUUUAUUUUUUUUGGUUAUUUUGUAUAUUGACUAUAUCAUGAUUUCGUGCAAAAUUGGCUUAAUAUAUGAAUGAUUUGAUUAUAAAUGUAUAGAAUAUUAAUAGUUUUAUCGUUGUAAAGUUAUGAAAUUUAUUGUAACAUUGUUAUGAAAUUGGAAUUUCUUUAGUCAAUUUGAUAAUAAUAAUGAGAGGGAUUCGGUAUGCAGAUUUAAAUUAAUCUAUGGAUUACUGUUUUAAAAAAUAUAUAUAAAUAAAAUGUAUAAGCUGGAAUGAAUUUGAUAUAGUAACUGAAAUGAUAUUGGUAUGAAAAUGUAUUUACUUUUGUGUAAAAAAUAUGAGUAAGAAGUAUGAUGAUUUGUAUGAAAAGUGUAUUAAGUCGGUAUGAAAUGUGAAAUGUUAUUUUUUAUAUAAUGUGUUUUAUGGUAUGGAUUCUUGUAUACUGUUUGGAAUGAUAUUUGUAUGAAUAAAUAAUGACUAUUGUGUGUAAUUUUGUGUGAAUAGAAUGAAAUUGGUAUGAAAAAUUAUACUGUAUUGUGUAAAAAAAAAAUGAGCAAGAAGUAUGAUUAUUUGUAUGAAAUGUGUAUUAAGUUGGUAUGAAAUGUGAAAUGUUUUUUUUUUAUGAAAUCUUUUUUAUGGUAUGAAUUUUGGUAUACUGUCUGAAUGAUAUUUGUAUGAAUAAGUAAUGACGAGUGUGUGUAAUUUUUGUGUGAGUAGAAUGAAGUUGUGGAUUAAAUUUGUAUUAUCUUUGGUACGAAAAGUUAAUAUAAAUACAACAUAUUUAUAAUUGCUUUGUAUUAUGUAAGACUAACUGUUAUUUUUUUUAAUGAAACAGGAAAAUAUCUUGAGUGUGUGUAAUUUUUUUGUGAGUAGAAUGAAGUUGUGGAUUAAAUUUGUAUUAUCUUUGGUAUGAAAAGUUAAUAUAAAUACACCAUAUUUAUAAUUGUUUUGUAUUAUGGAAAACUAACUGUUAUUUUUGUUUAAUGAAACAGGGAAAUAUGUUGUUUUUCAGAUGGAGGGGAUUAUCUAUGAAUCUUCUAGUUUGUAUAGUGGUCUAGUAAGUGCAAUAAAAUUGCAGCUUAUGAUAGAUAUUAAUAUUAAUGAUAUAGAGAUAAAAUAUAUAGUUAGUGAUCGAUGUCCACCUGUUAGUAUAAAAUAUAUAAAAAAAUUAUUUUGUUUGUCUUUUAGACUCAUGUUUUGUUUUGAUAUGAAACAGAAUUGGCAUGAAAUGCAUUACAGCUAAGUGUUUAAUAUAUUGUUCAUGUUUUAUACAAGAUUCAUUCAUUAAUCAUACAAAUUGCAUACUGCUGGAAAUAAAAUUCAUUCCAGUUUAAUAUAUAAGAUAGUGUUCAUAUUAGUGAUAAUUAUAUAAGGUAAUUAUGGUAUGCAUUUGGUAUCCUAAUAGCAGUUGAUAUUAUUUAAUGUAAGUUUAUAUGAGUAUCAAUUUGGUAUCCAACUGGUGUCCUACUCUAAAUCAAAAUAAAACAAGAUGUAAUUAAUGAUGGUGCAAAAGUUAAUGAUCGUUGUUUUAGAUUGCCAGAUUCGUUUCUUCCAGUAUUUAUACAAAUUGUAUAUCAAUUUCAUACAUCUUUAAAGUACUUAAUACAUGCUUGUUAAGAGAAUAUAAUUUACAAUUAGUAAUAAUUUGGUAUCCAUUAGGUGUCCAACUUGAAUAAAUAUAAAACAAGAUGUAAUUGAGGUUGUUACAAAAUACAAUAAUCACUAUUUUACAUUGGCAUAAUCAUAUCUUCAAGGUAUUUAUACAGGUUGGAUACCAACUUCAUUCAUUUUUUAUUUUUUUAUUUUUUGUGUUAGAAUAUGAAGUAAAAAAAUCAAUCAUGAAUGAAUUUGGAUGCCAUAAGUGUAGAGUUGGGAUACCAAUUAUAAGACAAAGUUGGUUUAUGAACUAUAAAUUGGUAUUCUUUUUAUUUCUAGUUAGUAAUACACAGUAAUAUCAAUAAGUCUAAAUGUUGAAUCCAAUUGGUAUACAGUUUGUAUAUAACUGUCAUCUCGAAAACUAUUAUACUCAAUGUGUAAUAUAGCUUCCAAAUGGUGUAUUCAAAUGGUAUACAGUCUGUAUAUUACUAGUAUCCUGAAAUUACGGAAAAGGGUCAAAAUUGCCCCUGAACUAUGCGAAAUAGACCACUUAUACCCUUCAUUACAUUUUGGGAUCAAAAAUACCCCCCCAGUUAUCUCAGGAGACCACAAAUAUCCUCAAGAGUUAACACCCCAAUUUUUUAGUGACGUGGCAAGCCACAUGGGACUAAUCCCUCCACCUAAGCAUUGCCAACUAAGAUUCACUACAAAAGAACUUGACCUUUAGUGGCGANNNNNNNNNNNNNNNNNNNNNNNNNNNNNNNNNNNNNNNNNNNNNNNNNNNNNNNNNNNNNNNNNNNNNNNNNNNNNNNNNNNNNNNNNNNNNNNNNNNNNNNNNNNNNNNNNNNNNNNNNNNNNNNNNNNNNNNNNNNNNNNNNNNNNNNNNNNNNNNNNNNNNNNNNNNNNNNNNNNNNNNNNNNNNNNNNNNNNNNNNNNNNNNNNNNNNNNNNNNNNNNNNNNNNNNNNNNNNNNNNNNNNNNNNNNNNNNNNNNNNNNNNNNNNNNNNNNNNNNNNNNNNNNNNNNNNNNNNNNNNNNNNNNNNNNNNNNNNNNNNNNNNNNNNNNNNNNNNNNNNNNNNNNNNNNNNNNNNNNNNNNNNNNNNNNNNNNNNNNNNNNNNNNNNNNNNNNNNNNNNNNNNNNNNNNNNNNNNNNNNNNNNNNNNNNNNNNNNNNNNNNNNNNNNNNNNNNNNNNNNNNNNNNNNNNNNNNNNNNNNNNNNNNNNNNNNNNNNNNNNNNNNNNNNNNNNNNNNNNNNNNNNNNNNNNNNNNNNNNNNNNNNNNNNNNNNNNNNNNNNNNNNNNNNNNNNNNNNNNNNNNNNNNUUAAUUGUACAAUUUGGAUACACACUGAUAUUUUAAAAUAGUGAAUCCAAAUGGUAUGAAGUCUGUAUAUUACUAGUAUCCUAAAAUUAUAAUAGUCAAUCAGUAAUUCAUAUGUAGAUGGUAUCUAACUGGAAUAAAACAGUGGAUAUUAUAUAUCAUCAAAUACUGAAACACAAAAAUAUUGUCCAAAAGUUAAAAAAAAAACAUGUAAUUCUAAAAAGUAGAAGGUGCAAUCAACUAUCUCAAAUUUCUUUUCUGUGGUCUUGGAUUUCUUUUCCAUGGUCUUGGUGUAGGAUAAUUGCUGGUAUCCGGAGCAUGUUCUUUUGCUAUGCGAGGUCCACCAAAUUUGCUAGCAACCGUACCAGUUACUUCACUCUCACUGAUCGCGACAUCCUCAUUCUUUGUUUUUCCAUAAUGUCAUAUGAUUGUGGCAUAUCUUUGACGAUGGUACUUUGCAUCGAUAUCAACAGAACACAUAUCAAAAACACAAUUACUGAUGUAUUCAACAAAUAGACAUGUGUACAAACCACAAUCACUGAUAAAAUUUAAAACAAAAAUCAUUUUAAGAAAUAAAUUAAGUUAACUUUUCUGAUGAAAUCAGUAAAGUAUAGAAAUACAUACUUGGAACUAUCUUCUUGUUGAGGCACAUGCAUCAUAUGAAUAAUAUGAAAAUAAAUUAAAUAUAGUACUUACCCUAACAACUUUUUGCCUUUUUGGAUAUUGGAAUUUCUGAUUCCUUCUUUUUUGUUGUUCUUCUUGUUGAUGAUUUAAAAGAUUGAACAACUUCUACAUCUAUUGCUUUUUUUGUUUUUUUGUUUUCUUUUUUAUUUCACUAACAAAAUCAGAAUCAGUAGGAGUUUCUACAAUUUUCCCCUUCCUCUUCUUUUCCUUUUGAUUUGCCGGACUCACCCUUUUCUUUGCUUCGUUUUUUUCUCAUUUUGAUCCUUAAAGUGAGAGGAACCACCCUUUGCCGGAGUUUCAACAUUUUUUGGCGGCGGGGUUUGAGUCAAUAUAUUGAAAGUUGGAGCAUGUACUUCAUCCGUAGAAGUUCCUUCAACUAAUUGAGGACUCUUUCGAGGCGUUACAAUGAUUUUCUUUGACAUGAUGAUGAUGAGAAACGGAAUGAGCGGGGUGAUUGUGAAGUUGGGGUAGUGGGGUGGUGAGAAAGGUGGGAGAGACGAUUGUGAAUGUGGGUAGUGGAGUGGUGAGAAAGAUGGGAGGGACGAUUACUGUAGUAUUGGAUAGGCGUGGGGGAUCAAAUUAAUUAACUAUUAAUAAUUAAUAAUAUAAAAAUGUAAAGAGAUUAUUCAUUUAUUAAAUUAAAUCAUAAUUGAUUUUUAAAUAAACUUAAAUUUAAUUGAUAUGUUAUAACCCGUAAAUAAACUGUUAUAGGUAAGAAUUUUUUAAGAGUAUUUUUAAAACCCGUAAUAUUGUCUCUUAAAUGUGUAUAUGGUGUAAUUUUUCCAAAAAUUAAUGCUCUUUACCAACAUGUUUUUAAAGAAUAUCAAUCUUUUGUUAGGUUAUGACAAAAAUAAAAUGAUUAUGCAAUAAUAAUAAUAGGAAAAAUCUUUUUGACCAUAAAAAUUUGGCCAUAAUUUUGUCAGAAUGGUAAAAGGACAUUUUCACACUAUAAACUAGUUUGUUUUUGGACAUUUUUGCCCUUUAACUCAAAUAUUAAAUAUAUUCUUCAAUUGUGUUUUCAAUGCAUUGAAAAUGAUUGAUGAGAUUAAUUAUUUUAUGAUUUUCAUAGUUAAACAUUAAAAAUGAACCGCAAAAUCCACCAAAGAAAACAUAAGUUUCACCCACUCUUCUCUCUUGUAAAUUUUCAAGAUACUAAAAAAAAAAAUUGUUUUAAAAAAAAUUAAAAAUGUAAGCGUAGUAGUAAAAAACUACAUAAUAAAAAAAGUAGUAAAAAAUAUAUCUCUUUUUCAGUUUCAAAAAGUCCUCCUUUUUACUUAUUCUUUUUUUGUUUAUUUAUUUUCCAUUUCUUAUUUCUUAAUGAUAAAAAGAGAAUUUAAAAAGUAUAAAAGAGGAGUAAAGUGUAGAUGAUCUAUUUUAGUUUAUAAUUUCUAAUCUAGAAAAGAUAAAUUAUAUCUAAAUUUAAAUAUUAAAAAUUUAUAUCUAUAAUACUCAAAAUUAAAAAAUUUAAAUUGAUCGAGUUGGCAAAACAAUUACUCCUAUUUAUUUCAAGAAGUUGUUGUUACACAUCGAUUUCUAGAAAGAAGUUAAAUAAUAAAAAUAAAUUUUAUUUGAUUAUAUUUAGAAUGUAUGUGAGCGAAAUAUGAAGAAAAUUGAAACUAUAAUAAUGUUUCUCUUAUUAUGUGAGUGUCUUCAUAUCCUCGAUCGUAUAUGAAUCAUAUCAUACACAAAUAAAGACUCAUUAAAAUUAUUUUUUUUUAAUUUUAGUACUAGAGACGUAUACAAAUAUUUUUUUGGAUAAAAAUAUUGAUGGCGCUUCAUUGAAAAAUUAUAAUAACACGGAAAAGAUAUAGAAAGUUCUUUAUGAUUUCAAAAUAAACUUUACUAAAAAAAUUUGAAAGAAAAACAUCUUCAUAGUUCUCCGAUGAUAAUGACAACACAAAUUUGUUAAGCAUGAACUAUCAAAAUUUCAUAACAUAUAUAUUUUUCUUUAUUAGUAUUAUUUUUUGUUUUAUUAAAAAAUGUUUGUUAUUAAAUGAUAUGUUAUAGUCAUAAUAUUAAUAUUAUUUUUCCGUCAAAUUAAUAUUAUUUUGAAACUGAUUGUGAAUUUUUAUAAUUAAGUAAUUUUAUUGUAUUUAUUAUAUAAAUAAAUUUAAAUUACAUAAUUAAAUUACAUUUUACAUAAUUUUUUAAAUAUAUGUAAAAUAAUUUAAUAAUAACAGUCAAAACUCAAAACACUCUAGUUCAUAUGUAUCAACUCUAGAUAACAAACCAAAAGAGCCAAAUAUUGUAGUCUUGUUGUGCCCCUAUGUUAUGUUAAUUUGAUGAUUUGAGAAUCAUUACUUAUAUUUGUUACUAAUAUGAGCUCUAAUUAGGUAAUUGUAGUAAUUAUUAGUAUGUUAAAAAAAUUAAGCUAUGCAUAAAAAUAAAAUAUAAUUUGAAAAUAUUUCAAUAAUGACAAUCAAAACUCAAAGUACUUUAGAAUUAGUAUACAUCGACACAUUAUAGAAAUACUUAAAAUAUCAUAUGGUUCAUAAGCGACGAUCCUAUUUAACAAUAACCAAAGAUAGUUACACAUAAUGUUGUAGUUUUGCAUAUUUGCUAAUUAUUAUGUUUUAAAAAUUAAACUACAUAUUUAAAUAAUUAAGUGAUAUCCCUAGUUAACAACAAGCUAAGAGUAUUUCAAAAAAAAAACAAGCUAAGAGAGUGUUUACGCAUUAAUGUUAUAGUCUUGCGCCUCUAUAUUAUAUCGACUUGAUAACUUAUGAUUACUGAUACUUGCUAUUAAUAUGAGCUCUAAUUAAAUAAUUAAUGAAUUGUUGUGUUUAAACAAAUUUAAUUUAUAUAUUACUAUUUUUUUAAUAUAAUCUGAAAAUAUUACAGUAAAAACAGUCAAAACUCAAAACAAUUUAUAGAGAUCAAUAUAUUUUAAAAAUCAUAAGAUUCAUAUUAUAACUUAUAAGUAUCAAUCCUACCUAAUUACACUAAAUAUUUGUAUACUAUAUAUGUUCAAUUAAAAAUAGACCCUCUAUAUUUUGAAAUCAAACAUUCACAUCUUCUAUAUUAUAAAAAUCAUACAAUUUUUAUCCACCAAUAAUGUUAUUUCUAAUUUCCUAAAAAAAAUAUAAAUAUUGUAUAGAAUGAAUGUUCUACGUAAAUGAAAUUCUAUCUAACUAAUUAUAUAUACAUAAUUUUAAAGCAAGAAAAUAAAUAAAAGGAAAUUAUAUAUAAUAAAUAUUACAUUUAAAUAAAAUUAUAAAUAAUGUACGUAUUUAAAUUAAAAGAAAGUUAUUACUAACCGUUGAUAUAUCUUAUUAACUAAUUUGUAUCACUUAACAUUUUAAAAAAAUAUUAAUUAUUUUUAAAUCAAAUGCAUGAAUGAAAAUUUUAUUUCCAUUUUAAAAUUUUGUUAGAAUAAUUUCACAAAAACUAUAUUUUUAUAAUUUUAGUUUAUCGUUUAAUAAUUUAUUUUAAUAUAUUUAGUUAUAGAUAAACUCAUUGAAAGUGUGAGUAUAGAAUUUUCACACUACAUGAAGCGUAAGUGUUUUAUUUUAAAAUAUGAAUAGUGUAUUUAAAAUUGAAUUAUAAUAUAAUUUUUUUAUAUAUAUUAAUUAUUUAUAUACAAAAAAAUAUGAAAUUAAAUCUCAAAAAUAGUGUUUUUUCUGUUAUCUUAUAGAGUUGCUUUAUUGGAGACAUAAAGUAGAUAUUUAGUAUUGUUAGUUUCUUUUUUAAUUUACUCCACAUUUUUUAUUUUAUUUUUAAAAAGAUCCAGGAGAAUUAAAAAAAAAAGAUAAGGUAAAGAAGUAGAAUGACGAAAAAUGAAUUUGACGAAGAAACAAAACUGUGAAAUAUUUUAUUAGGUGGGACUCAAAACAUUAAUCUUAUCAAAUUAAUAAAUGCUUUAUACAAUUUACUAGAAAAGAGCAAGCCUUAAUUUGAAGGAAAAAGGUUAUAACUGUCUUUUCAAAAUUCUGGCCAAAUUCUUGCCAAAAUUUUCUGACUGUUUAGCAUCAAUAAUAAUAAUAAUAAUAAUAUUAAAAUGACAAAGAAAUUAAUAUAGUCAAAGAAGUUGAAGAAGAAAGGUUUUAUUUCUUUUUAAAAAAAGUCAUAUUUGUGCAUGUACUUUGAAAAAAAAGUUUAUAUUUAUCUCUCAUAGUACUUUUUUGAUAUAUUUAUUCUUAUCAUCCAACUUUAAGUUCUUAUUUAUCUUUGAAUAAUUAAAUUUCAUUUUGUUUAACUCUUAUUAUCCUACGUGACACCUACAUAAAUAUAUUUUUAUUGAUGCUUACCUUUUUCUAUGGAAAAGUGACUAGGCAAAUAUGGUACUAGGAAUGGAUUUAAUGGGUUAGAUGUGUGGGUAUAAUAAUUAUAUUGGAAGCAAGUUUUAAUUGUGAUAAAAAUAUAUUUAUGUAGGCAUCACGUAGGAUAAUAAAAGUGGAGACAUGAGACUUAACAAUUCAAUGAAAAUUAUGAACUCAAAGUUGGAUGGUACAAAUAAAUAUAUAUUAAAAAAAAUAUAACCGAAGGUAAAUAUAACUUUUUUCUAAUAGUAUAAGGACAAAUAUGACACUUUUUCAUUUUCUUAAAACUUAGUUAGGCAUUUGGAGAUACGAUUUCAUCUGAUGAUUUGAAAUCAUGAGAUCAAAUCAGGGUUUGGACAUGUGAUUUUUCCAUCUCAUGAUUUCAAAUUCAUGAGAUGAAAUCCCGAAUUUUCCAAAUAGUUUAAUUCAAAAUUUUCAUAUCAUGACUUCACAUUUUUCAAAUACAAAAGUUGGCCCAUAAAUAUAUAUUUUAUAAAAAAAUUAUUGUUUUUCAUCUACAUAAAUUUUUUUGCGAGAAUAUAACCAAAGGAGUGAUGAAACAUAAGCAAAAUAUGAACAUGUUGAUACAUUUACUAAUGAUAUUAAUCAUGUUCAUUUUUAUAAAAGAGUAGUACACUAUAAUUUAUGUUCCAUUUUUAUAAAAAGUAAUAUACUACAACUCAUGUUCAAAUUUAUCUUUUUAAUGAAUUAAAAUUCGAUCAAUAAAUGUUACAUAUUUUAGAAUAACUUUUGACAAUGCAUUAUACUUUUAUUUUGAACUUUUGCUUAUUAGGUAAGAUUGUAUAAAAAUUGAAACAAUUUUGAUAGUUUUCACAACUUAUGAAUUUUUUAUAUUUACGAGUAAAAUAUACAACUUAAAAUUUCAAAUUACAUGUUCAAACUAUUGAAGGUAUUAAAGGAGUCACUUAGAUAGAUAGGUAAGUGAUAAGAAGUUAGUUACUAUAUUAACUAACUUCCUGAAAGGUUAGUUAUUUUAACAGCUGUUAGUUAGUUAGGAUUAGGGUAGUUUUGAAGUCUAUAUAAAGUUGUAUUUGUAAGCCUAUUAAAGGCAUUGUGGUUGAUGAGAAUAACAAGAUAAACUCUCUUAAUUCUUCUUCUUCUUCCUCACUUCUUCUCUUCUUCUCUUAGAUGUUCUUCUUUACUUUACAUACUUUCUCAUAUAGUUUCAUGGUAUCAGAGCAGUCAACUAGAUAAUCUGGUUGAAAGAAUCGAUCUCUACUCUGGUUGAAAGAAUCGUUCUGUAACGCAGAUCGAAAAUUGUUCAAUUCUGUUGGAAGAACUGGUCAAAUUCUCUGAACAUCCUCUAUUGUUACAAUGAUAGUGGAAGCACGACAAUCUACACAGGCUCAAUCUGUUCAAUCCGGUCAAAAGACUGGUGUCGACUACAAUCAUCCUUUGUUUCUUUCUCAAUCUGAUGUAAGUGGUACACAGAUUAUUUCGUUUCAACUAGCAGGGGUUGAAAAUUACUCAAUAUGGUAUAGAUCUAUGAGGGUAGCCUUGCUUGGAAGGAAUAAAUUGAGAUUAGUUGAUGGUUCCUGCAAGAAAGAAGCAUUUCCAGAGGAGAUGGGGAAUCACUAGGAAAGAGUAAAUAUAGUAGUAUUGUCUUGGCUGAUGAACUCAGUGGAAAAAGGGUUGUUGGGAGGUAUAAUGUAUGCUUCUAAUGCCUAAGAAGUAUGGGAGGACCUAUUCGAAAGAUUCAACAAGAUUGAUGGUUCAAGAACUUACAAUUUACACAAGGAAAUUGCUACAUUAAGUCAAGGUACUGCUAUAGUUUCUGCAUACUUUUCUAGGUUGAAAAACUUGUGGGAAGAGUUUGAAGCUCUUGUCCCUAGUCCCGGUUGUAACUGUGAAAAAUCAAAAGACUUUGUAAUACAUCUUUAGAAGUUAAAGUUGUUUCAGUUUCUCAUGGGACUAAACGACUCCUAUAAUCAAGCAAGAAGUCAGAUCUUACUUAUGAGUCCUAUGACAACUGUUAAUUAGGCGUAUGAAAUGGUUAUUAGUGAUGAAGGACAAAGGUCUAUAGUAGCAAAUUCUGGAAUCGUGGGUGCAAAUCCUGCUUCAAGUGGUAGUAAUUUUGAUAUGGCCAUGUUUACCAGAAAUGGUUCUACAAGAUACAAGAAAAAAUUCAAUGUACAAUGUGAUUUCUGUAAAAUGAAAGGACAUACCAAAGAAGUGUGUUACAAGUUGGUGGGAUACCCAUCAGAUUAUAACAAGUUUAGAAAGAAAGGAGGACAGGCAGGGAGUAAUGGUUAUAACACAAGUGCAAGGGCUCAUAAUGUGAUCACUGAUAAUCAUUUUCAAGAAUCAGAACAAUGUGAUAUGAUGGGUGAUACAAGUGAGAAUGUAGCAGAAGGAACUAUGUCAGAUUACAAAGGCAAAAGUAUGGAAUAUUCUUCACAAAACAAAAAGACUGAGAUGGGGUUGUAUCCAUUUACUAAGGAGCAAUAUAAUUAGAUCGUUCAUAUGUUGAAGAAUAUUGGAGACAACAGUGCUACUACAAACCCUAUGUCUUCAGCAAACUUAGCAGGUAUUAACCAGGCUAGUGUUUACUCAGUUAAAAAUAUACAAGAGUGGAUAGUAGACACUGGAGCUACCAACCAUAUGGUAGCUGAUGUAAGCUUGUUAGAUAAACCUUUUAUAGUGUCUAAAGAAGUGUAUUUACCUAAUGGAAAUGUUGCUAAAGUCACUCAUAUUGGAACUAGUAGUGUUACUGCAAAGACAUCUUUGACUAAUGUGCUGCAUUUGCCUCAAUUCAAGUUCAAUUUGAUGUUUGUGUCAAAACUCACAAAAGAGUUAGGAUGCUCAGUAAGUUUCUUUCCUGAUUUUUGCUUGUUUCAAGAUCUCUCCAAUGGAAUGGUGAGGGAGACUGGUAGAGAGGAGAAUGGGCUGUAUAUUCUGACUGGAAGUUCAAAAAUACUGCAGUCUCAAAGCAAUGGUUGUGUUUGUACUGUGAAAGGAAAUCAUAUUCAUAAGAAGUCUGAAGAUGUGGAACUAUGGCACAAAAGGCUUGGGCAUGUAUCCACAAAGUCAUUGAACAAGAUUUUGUCAAUAAAGGUUGAGUGUGUAGCAAAUACACUGCAUAAUUGUACUGUUUGUCCUUGUGCAAAACAAGUUAGAAAUUUUUUUCCUACAAGUAGUAUACAAACUUCAGCAUGCUUUGAUCUUGUACACAUGGAUGUUUGGGGUCCUUACAAAGUAACUACAUUUGAUGGUAAUAGAUUUUUUCUCACUAUGGUUGAUGAUUUUUCAAGGAUAACUUGGGUUUACUUAUUGAAAUUAAAGUCUGAUGUUUGUGUAGUCAUUAAACAGUUUAUUCAGUAUGCUAAAACUCAGUUUGGUAGGUCUGUUAAGGUCAUCAGGUCUGAUAUUGGUACUAAAUUUGUCAACUUAGUGUGUAAGGAAUUGUUCAACAAAUUUGGCAUAGUUCAUCAGACAAGUUGUGUCUAUACUCCUCAGCAAAAUGGGGUAGCUGAGAGAAAACAUAGGCACUUGUUAGAGGUAACAAGGGCCUUAAGAUUCCAAGCUGAAAUACCUAUUAGAUUAUGGGGUCUGUGUGUGUUAGCUGUUGUACACAUAAUUAAUAGAUUACCUAGCUCAGUAUUAAAAAAACAAGUUUCCAUAUGAGGUGUUUUAUAACGAGAAACCAUUAUUUCACAUUUAAGAGUUAUUGGAUGUCUCUGUUAUGCAAAGGUAGUACAAGAGCUUGAUAAGCUAAGUCCAAGAUCAAAAAUGACAGUUCAUAUGGGAUAUUCAAUGACUCAAAAAGGGUAUAUCCUUUAUGAUCUAGAAACAAGGAAGGUGUUUGUUAGCAGGGAUGUUAUGUUUAGGGAAAAUAUUUUUCCUUUUAAAACAAACACUAGUGUGUCAUGUAACAUAUUGUAUGUUCCUUGUGAUAUUGAAUAUGGUGGAGAUGAAUGUCACACCCCGAGCCUACACCCUGGGCGGGACUGGCACCCGGAGAUCAUUGCUGGCCCCAAGCGAACCCUUGGCCUGGGUUUCUUAACUCAGCGGAAACCUAACACAACAGAAUAACUCAAUGCCAUGCAAAGACAUAAAACAACUUAACAAUAAAAUCUGGCCCAAAAGGGCAACUCGAGUCUCAAAAUAGAAUAUUUACAUAUAUACAUAGAUGAGAGACUCAAAACUAACUGACUGACUGUCUAUGAAGCCUCUAAAAUACUGAGAUGGAUGUUGGGACAGACCCCGCAACAUCCUAAUAAAACAAACUAGGAACACAAAAAUAUCUGAGUCCUCCGGAAAGCAAGGAGGCUCACCACUGACGCNNNNNNNNNNNNNNNNNNNNNNNNNNNNNNNNNNNNNNNNNNNNNNNNNNNNNNNNNNNNNNNNNNNNNNNNNNNNNNNNNNNNNNNNNNNNNNNNNNNNNNNNNNNNNNNNNNNNNNNNNNNNNNNNNNNNNNNNNNNNNNNNNNNNNNNNNNNNNNNNNNNNNNNNNNNNNNNNNNNNNNNNNNNNNNNNNNNNNNNNNNNNNNNNNNNNNNNNNNNNNNNNNNNNNNNNNNNNNNNNNNNNNNNNNNNNNNNNNNNNNNNNNNNNNNNNNNNNNNNNNNNNNNNNNNNNNNNNNNNNNNNNNNNNNNNNNNNNNNNNNNNNNNNNNNNNNNNNNNNNNNNNNNNNNNNNNNNNNNNNNNNNNNNNNNNNNNNNNNNNNNNNNNNNNNNNNNNNNNNNNNNNNNNNNNNNNNNNNNNNNNNNNNNNNNNNNNNNNNNNNNNNNNNNNNNNNNNNNNNNNNNNNNNNNNNNNNNNNNNNNNNNNNNNNNNNNNNNNNNNNNNNNNNNNNNNNNNNNNNNUAAUCUGAAAAGGGUUCAUCUAAAAAGUAUGACCCGUUAAAUCCCAUGUUUGGCUACAUGGUUCUUAUGGAGAGUUGAGUUAAUAUGAACUCGCGUCUCCAAUUCGGUGCUCAAUACUACUCCCAAAAAUAUUUUGGCUCAUAAGUGUUUUAAACACAAACUUCUUUCUUUUAGUUUGAGAUAAUUGCUCAAAACUUAGCCCAAAGGCUCUUUUGGAAAUCAUAGUUCCUUUCUUACUUCAAAUGUAAAAACAUUUAUAAACUUCUUUGGGAAUACUUAGUUCCCUAAUAACUUUUGAGAAAUGGACUCAACUUUAUACUCUUGACUUAACUUAGAACUCUAUACUCUUUACUUAACUUGAAACUCAAUACUCUUUACUUAAAUUGAAACUCUAUACUCUUUACUUAAAUUGAAACUUGAGCCUUGAAAAAAGUUAAAAUGUUCAAUAAAGACUCUUGAAAAAAACUUUAAAGACUUGCUUCUUAACUUUUAAACUAGACUCUAACUUCACUUGACUUGGAUCCUAACUUUCUUGAAUUGAAUUAUGGAUUCAAGAGUAAUGAUUUGGGUUUGAAAGGACCCCAUGAUGUUUAGGAAUAAUUUAGGACAGCUAAACUUAAGAAGAAUUACGAAAUUAACUUCUGAAAACGGUGGAGUCCGCGUCCUGUCCGCAACGCGGAGCAGAUUUCACAAGAAUUCAACUAUCACAACCCAACAACUUCAACAACACAACCAAUCUUUUCUCGGAAAUAAAACGAGUUUGGCGUGUGGGGGAAAGAACCAACCCAACACUAUGAACUCACAUACCUUAAUAGGGAUCACCCCCGACGAAAACCACGACGAUCUUGACGAAAUCCUUGCUUCUUCUUCUCUUUCUCCUCUUCUUUCUCUCUUCUCUCCAAAACCCUAACUCUCACUUUUAAAAAGGGAAAACUGAUUUAAAAUCAGUCUAACACCUCAAUAUAACCAAAAGAAUUGGCUAGGGAAAAGACCAAAAUACCCUUAAAAUUUUCGGACUAAACUGCCCUGUGCGACUGUGCCAACAGCCCAACUUCCAAAGGGCAUAACUCACUCAUACGAACUCGGAAUCGAGCAAACUCAGCGGUGUUGGAAAGAUCAUUCCAAGGGAUUUCCAGACAUAACUGGAAAUUCACCUAAAUCAUUCUGAUCAAGUAGUUAUGACUGUUUGAAGUUGACAAAAAAAAACUAAUUUUUUUCCCAUACUUAACUAAAUUUCCAGAUUCUAACUUCUUCAAAAAAUGACUAAUUCCAAUUAUAAACUUCUUCAUAGUUAUUUCAAAUUGCAACACAUCACAAAGAAUUCUCGUCAUGAAUGGACUUUCCAAACGGUAAUAUUAGUGGACGACGAGGUAAUAGCUUUGCUUAGGUUAUAUGCUAACAUUCUUAUCUACUCCCUAUAUUACUUUUCUAAUCAACUCAUAUGUCAAUUACAUCAAGCAAUGAAAUACCUGAAGGAGUUGUGGUACAUGGAGGUACAACACCUCAAAAUCUGGUCCAAAGCUCACAGAAGAAACUAGACCAGCAGAAGUUCCUGUGGUACCAGUCAGUGGUCUAAGAAGGUCUGUGAGAGACAAAAAUCCUCCUGUUUGGUUAAAAGAUUUUGUUUCUCUAAGUGUGAAUGAAACAGUAGCUUAUCCUAUGUCCAAGUAUAUUGCUUAUGAUCAUUAGGCACCCAAGUAUCAAGCCUAUGUUACUGCUUUCUUUGCAUACACUGAACCUAGUAGUUAUUGUGAAGCCACCAAAGAUCCUAGGUGGGUGGAGGCUAUGAAGGAAGAAAUUAGUGCAUUACAACAAAAUAACACUUGGGAAGUACUGUCUUUGCCUGAAGGAAAAAAACCUAUUGGAUGUAGGUGGAUUUACAAGGUAAAAUACAAAUCUACUGGUGAAGUGGAAAGGUUCAAAGCUAGGUUGGUAGCCAAGGGGUAUAGUAAAAAAGAAGGGAUUGAUUAUCAAGAAACCUUUUCACCAGUAGUUAAAAUGAAAACUGUGAGAUCAGUCCUGGCUAUUGCAGCAACAAAAAAAUGGCAUAUACACCAAAUGGAUGUGUUCAAUGCCUUUCUACAAGGUGAUUUGUUUGAUGAGAUUUACAUGGAGUUGCCUCAAGGAUUUCUGAGUCAGGGGGAGACUAAGGCAGUGUGCAGACUCAAAAAAUCCUUGUAUGGAUUGAAACAAGCUCCUAGGCAGUGGAAUGCUAAGUUAACUGAGGCACUUCUUGAGUUCAAGUUUCAACAAAGUCAAUAUGACCAUUCAGUAGUUACAAGAAGCAUUCAAAAUGAAGGAAAUUUCCUUGGCAUUGAGUUUGCAAGGUCAAAGGAAGGUAUUCUCAUGCAUCAAAGGAAGUAUGCAUUAGAGCUGAUUUCUGAAACAGGUCUAGGGGCUGCAAAACCUACUAUGACUCCUAUGGAUGCAAAUGUGAAGUUAACAUCAAAGGAAUAUGAUGAUUAUGUGCUCAAAACUCAAGCAGAACCUAUGGCUGAUCAAGGCUCUUAUCAGAAACUCAUAGGAAAACUUAUGUACAUCACUAUAACCAGACCUAAUAUUUCAUUUUGUGUACAGUCCUUGAGUCAAUUCUUAUAAGCUCCUAAACAGUCUCAUAUGGAAGCAGCAGUUAGAAUAGUUAGAUAUCUGAAAAAAAGAGCCAAGGCAGGGAGUCUUACUAUCUAGCAAUAAGAGCAUUGAUAUAUCAGCUUAUUGUGAUGCAGACUGGGUUGCUUGUCCUAACUCUAGAAGGUCUGUAACAGGAUAUGUAGUGAAGCUUGGUGACUCUCCUAUCAUAUGGAAGUCUAAAAAACAAACAACUGUCUCCAAGAGUUCAGCAGAAGUUGAAUACAGAAGCUUGGCUUCAACAGUAGCAGAGUUGAUAUGGAUAAUUGGGUUAAUAAAAGAACUUGGUGUGGAGGUUACUCUUCCAGUUAAGGUGUAUAGUGACAGUAAAGCUGCGAUACAAAUAGCUGCAAAUCCAGUGUAUCAUGAAAGGACUAAACACAUUGAGAUAGAUUGUCAUUUCAUUAGAAAAAAGGUUAUGCAAGGAAUGGUUUCUACCAACUACAUUCCUACAAAUGAACAACCUGCAGAUAUGUUAACCAAAAGUUUGCCCAGAGUUCAACAUGAAGUUUUGAGUUCCAAGUUAGGUAUUCAAAACAUUUUUAGAGUACCUAACUUGAGGGGGAGUAUUGAAGGUAUUAAAGGAGUCACUUAGAUAGCUAGGUAAGUGAUAAGAAGUUAGUUACUAUAUUAACUAACUUCCUGAAAGGCUAGUUAUUUUAACAGCUGUCAGUUAGUUAGGAUUAGAGUAGUUUUGAAGUCUAUAUAAAGUUGUAUUUGUAAGCCUAUUAAAGACAUUGUGGUUAAUGAGAAUAACAAGAUAAACUCUCUUAAUUCUUCUUCUUCCUCACCUCCUCUUCUUCUCUUAGAUGUUCUUCUUUACUUUACAUACUUUCUCAUAUAGUUUCACAAACAAAACUUUAACUUCAUCUCACAUAAAAAUAAAUAUAACUAGUUUCAAUAAGUUGGGUAAAUGUAGCUUUAAAUAUAAUUGUAGGAGUAUAUUUAUUGCAAAAAAAAAAAAACAUAACGAAUGAUAAAUAUUAAUUUAUUUUUUUAUAGUAAAAUGACAAAUAUGAUCCUUUUAUCAUUUAAACAGUAGAAAUCACUUUAAGCUUAACUGAUGAAUACAUAUAUUACCACCAUCGAUGGAUGUGAUGCAACAAAUGAUCGAAUGGGGCUAUUCUUUCCUUAAUUAGAAAUUUCGAUUUUGAAAUUUUAAUAUGGAAAAAUUCUUGAUAGGGAGCGUUUCCACCCAAAUGAGGCCUUAUGACGCGUAAAUUCAAAAUAAUUGGAUUUAUAAUAUAAACCCAAUAUAAAUCCCGAACACUAAAUUUAAGACCAAAAAAAUGCAUAUAAUCAUUGAGUACCUUUACUUGUGAGUAACAACAAAAGAACCAUCAACAACAUUUUAGACCUCUAAGCUUUUAAAUUUUUUUUCUUAUUCCGUUUAAUUACUUUUACUAGUCCGUUAUUGACGUAAUACUUUCUUUAAGAAAUUACUCAGUUGUUAAGAAAUUGUUUUAUUGAAUUAUCCACAUUAACAAUAUUUUGAAAAUUUAAAUUUGAUUGUUAAUACUUUAUGUAAUAUUUAAUGGAAACACUAAUAUCAGAAGAAAUUAAAAAAAAUAAUCUCCUUGCCUUUUAAAGUAGAAAAAGGGAAAAAAAUUAUUUCUAAAGGGACCAGUAAAUUAAUUAUUCAAAUAUUUAUAUCGUUUAAUUGGGUACGAAGAGUUAAAAAUAAAAAGUGAGUUUGUCUAGUUGGGUACGAAGAGUUAAAAUAAAAUUUAUAUAUUAGUGUAUAAUACAUCUUAUAAUUUUUAUAUAAUAUUGUAUAUUGGGUGUAUUGUACUCCCUCCGUCCCUAUUUACUUGCCAAAUAUUUUAUAAUUUGAUUUCCCUUUUUACUUGUCAUUUUUGAACAAAUCAAGAAAUGACUAAUUUUUUUCUUCUUAUUAUACCCUCAGUUUAUUAACGUUGAGUUAAUGUCUUUGAAAAAUGUAGUUAGUAAUAAUGUUUAAAACUUUAUCAAUUAAUAUGGGGUAAAAUGGUAAACACACUAAAAAAAUAGGGGGAAUUACGCAGAUAAGCAAACAUAUACUAGUUAAUCAACUAACAUAACUAUAAUUUGAAUUAAUUAUCACUCUCAGCCUUUUUUUAACUUUAAUUAUGUGUGCCUCUCUCCUCUCUCUCUCUCUCUCUUAUCCAUAUAUACAAUUAUAUGACUGAUAUACAAAUACUAUUCGCUUUUUUCACUCUCUGCCCCUAUCUCGCUCAUCUCUCUCCUCUAUACUCCCUCUCCCAAUCCCGCUCGCCAGAUAUACAAAUACAUAUGUAUACCAAAUAUAUGUCUACAAUUAUCUGACAGAUAUACAUAUACAGUUUGACAAAUAUACAAAUACAAUUCACCUCUCUCGCUCGCCUCUCUCCUCCUUCUCCCAUUUUCUCUCGUCUUUCUCCUCCCUCUAACAUGUACCUAUGAAUCGUAAUUAGCAAACUAUAGCUGUGAAACCUAAUUAAGUUAUUUUUAGUUGGUCAUUUGUUGAAAUUUCUCCUAAAAAAUAAUGUCUAUACAAUUGAAAACAUAAAAUUCCGAGUGGGCUUAAGCUCCUAAAUAUACAUAGGAAUUUUGGAUAUAUUUAUGGCCUCUUUGUUAGUUGACUUAGUAGAUGUAGAAUAUCUAGAAUUCAAUGAAAAUAUAUGGAACAGAAGUGUAGGAAAGAUAACAUAAUUUAUACAAGGAAUGUCUAACAUUUUAUUAUUCCCUUAGUCCAAUAAUACUUGUUCAUAAUUGACUUUACACACUUAUUAAAAAACUAUAAAUAAAAGGAUAAUUUUACUAUAUAACCAUUUGAUUAUACUCUCUCCGUCCAACAAUACUUGUCCACUAUACUAAAAAUAGAUGUCCAACAAUACUUGUCCACUUUAUGAAAUCAAUGGAUAAUUUUACAAUUUAGUUCAUAAUUUACCCUUAUCAUUAAUUAUAGUUAUUUCCUUAUUACAUUUUUCAAGACAUUGUAUUUAUUAUAUUCAAAGGGCGAUAUAGUAAAAUUAUCCUUCUAUUUUAUAGUUUCUUAAGGGGUGUGCCAAGUCAAUAUUGGACAACUAUUAUUGGACAGAGGGAGUAAUAAAUAGAGGAACUUUCGCAUAUAGUCACUCAAAAAUAGCUUAAUUAUACUCCAUAGUUAUAGUUUGCUAAUUACAAUUCGUAGCUACAUGUUAUAGGGAGGAGAGUGAUGAGCGAGUCUGGGAGAGGGAGGAGAGAGGCAAGCGAGAGAAGGCAGAGAUUGGGAGAGAGGUGAAUUGUAUAUGUAUAUCAGUUAGAUAAUUGUAUAUUAUACAUAUGUAUUUGUAUAUUAUGGCAAGAGAGAUUGUGAGAUGGAGGAGAGAGGCGAGCAAUAUUGGGAGAGAAAGGAGAGAGGUGAGCGAGAUUAAGAGAGGGAGGAGAGAGGCGAGAGAGGACAAUAAUUUGUAUAAUUUGCAGGUACAUUUGUAUAAUUCACGUGUUUUUGUAUAAUUGAGUAAUAUAAAGUCUGGAAUUAUAUAAAUAUAAUAAAAACUCGAAAUAGUGAAUUGAUUCAAACAUAAACAUAUGAACUUUAAACAAUUAUACAAAAUAUAUUAUACAAAUUACAUUAUAUAAAUUAUAUUAUACAAAAUCUGAAAACUACACGUUUAUGCAAACUUUAAAAAAUUAUAAUAAACAAAAAGAUAGAAUGUAUAUGAUGACAAAACUGAAAAACCAAAGGAAAUCAUCAUCAUAUACAAAUAUAAACCACCGUAUACAAGUACAUAUCAAACAAAUAAUUGUUAGUUGUGAAUUAUAUAAAUGUGGCAAAUUAUACAUAUACAACCUUCAUAAUUAAUUGAGGCUAUAUGUAGGACUAUCUACGGUUAGGUGAGGCUAUUGCUACAAAAAAAAUAUCAUGGUGGCUUGAGAUAAAGUUUGUAUACUUAAAUGUGCAAGGAGUUUGUAUACUUCUCAAUCUAAGCAUAUGAAAUUUAGCUAGUAUGACAUAUCCACCAUCUAUUAAGUUAUAUUUUCUCCCCUUGAGAAUUAUGUCUUAACAGAAUGUGUCUAUUAUCUAAUAUUUGAAUGUGUUUUCUGGUAAAGUAGGAUACUUAGAAGAAACUAAUUAUUUAGUUUGCCCUCGGAUUGUAAAGUUUAGUGGUAAUUAAUAAAAGUUUUCUUUAAUUACUAAAAAAACCUUUAAAAUUGAAAACUCCCUCAUUAUUCAUCUAAUCAUUUCGAAAAAUAUGUCACUCAUCGCUGCAGAUUUCAAAUGACAUAUCAAAGCUAUUAAAAAUGAUAAAACAUGAAAAAACAUGCAAAAAGCACAAAAUGACCAUGAGGAUCGUUACACCAUCUAUCACUAAAAUACAUAUUCGUCCCUGAACGUAAUGAUAAAGAAAGUACAUGUAUCAUCGAAAAAUAGAGAUAUUUGUUGCACUUGUCUAACUUGGUCUCCCAAGUGACUUCCUCCUCCACCAAAUGAUGUAUCCAUUAUACUUUCACUAAAGUUAUUUGUAAUACCCCAAAAGAAAUUUUUAAGAUAAAAUCUGAAUCGUACGUAUGGAUGCUUCCUAGUUGUUUAUGUAUGUUAAGGUUCAUUACCAAGUGUAGUAAGUGUAUCAGAAGUGAUUUAGGGUCAUUAGGGACCCCUAACACUAAGCCAAGUUCAAAGUCUUUCCAACUUGUUAAGUUUUUCCAUGAAAUCAUACAGGGAUCAACUUCAAACGAUCGUAUAUCUUAGAAUAUGAGUACUUAUGUGGCUCAUGACCUAUCAAAUAAAAGUCCUAUGAGUCUUAUUUCCGACACCAUCAAACUUUCCUUAAUACAGGUUCGGAAUGAAAAGUUAUGACUGUUUUACUACAUACACUUCUAUCAGAGAUUUCUACUUCAGGAACUACAAAUUGAAAUUAUGGGUUGUAAAUUCAGCUCAUGGUUUUGAGAUCAGAGGCUCAAACUUUGCAACUAAAUUCCAAGGAUUCAAUCCACGAUCUGUGGAUCAUUUUACGAGCCAUAAAAGGAUUCGUAGACCAUGUAAAUUACUGUAUAUCAUGUGUAUCAAGUGUAUAAAAAAAUUUCUAGAUUUCAUUAAAAUGUUAUUUUGAAUUUCUUUUCACUACUUUUCAUCCCUUGGUCGGUCCUAGGGGUGUGCAAAAUCCGAACCGACCGAUAAAUCAAACCGAAAAAAGUGUUAUUGGUUUAUUGUUAUUGAGUUAUUGGAUUAACAGUUUUUUAAUGGUUUUAUAAUUAAAAAAAAAAGGGAAAAUUAAGCAAGUUGGCAAACAUACCUAGGUUAUUAGUCAAUUAGGGUAUAGUUUAAUUUAUUUACUGUCAAUAAAUACAGUUUCAGUUUUUUUGCCAUUAAUAAUGGGACCCACCACAUCUUUGUAUACCGAAUCAAAGGAGCAUUAAUAAGAUUUUGUAUAUGAUUUUAUACAAAAUCAAAUUUAUCUCUCAUGUCCCCAUUUCCUUUUUUUCUCCUAAAAUCACUCUUCCACUUCUAAUUUGAAAUUGGGAAAAUUCGAAUUCCACUUUCUCCCUCUAAUCGUGUUUUCAAUUUUUGCAGGAAACUAUCAAAAUCUUGGGUGAAUCUUUUUUUCUUUUCAUUUUUCAACAUUUGUUUACAUAUGUAUUAUGCUUGUUAGUUUUAUGAUAAAUUUGUUUUUAAAAAAAAUCUCUCAUCCGUUUUGCCAAAACAAAAUGGAUGAUUCGACUCCAUCUAAGAGAAUUACGAGAGGUACACCAUUGCAUGUCCAAGUUGUUGACCAUCCACCUUCAUUUUCAAUUGGUUUAACUCAAGAUUUGGAGUUAAUGCAGGGUCUAUGACAAAAUCUAUACAGUUGAGGAGUAAAUAAUUUCAUGAUUUCUUUCCCAACGAUUUACAUCGCAAAUAAAAGGCUCAGGUUCUAUCGGGCAGUCUUUUAAAAAUUGGGCUUUUAACAUGCCCACUUGGGCCAGGGUUUAAAACCAAGUGGCCCUCUAUUUGUUCUGAAGUGGUCCCCUUUGUGACUUUUCCACCCACGUGACUUCUUUCACCAAAAAAACCUUUUCUUCUCUGUUAGGUUUAACAGGCAGCUUUUCAGACCUAUGAAUAUCUCUGCACCUCGAAAGAUUUGAUGGGUUCCUCCCUCGAUACCCAUCCUCGUCUCUUUCCUUACUUGUACAUGCUCCCUCAUCGUACUUUUUACGAAAAGUCACCGACGAUUCUACCCAUAUAGGUAGAGAGAAGAUGUUCUCCUCAUCGGCAAUCUCGAUGGAUGCCGGAAUUUUUUUUGUCGGACCUUUGACACGAAUCCUAGCCCAACGGAGAUGAUUUUUUAGAUCGGUUUCUUCUUCUGUCUCUAUCCAGCCGCCACACAGAUCUCCAAUUUCCUUCAUUAUUGGCCUGGACCAGAGAUGUUGGGAACCAUUCGAACUCAUGGGUUAUUGGGAAAGCCCCAAUGGUCAGCGACCACCAUUGAAGCUUUAAUCUGCUCCCUUGUCUUCUCCAGUCACCCAUCAAAACAUGUUCUGCUAUUUUUCUGGACUGGAAUUUAAAAAGAAAUAAAAUUUCAUUCAUAUCAUAGAUUUGGACUCCAUGUGCUCCAUCCCAAGUCUAUUUGGCCCAUCUUCUUACAUCAUUUCUAGUGGGUGUAUCAUCUUCUCCAAAAACAAAAUCCCCACUAGACAACGUGCCAAUAGGUCUUCGUCUUCUAACUGGACUCGAUCUUUCAACAUGCUGCCUUCUUAUGCUAGCUCUGUCUCAACUCUAGUUCAUUUACUUUUCUGCAAAACCUCUUUAUAACUCAUUCCCCCCCUUGUUAGCAGCAUACUCUGCCUCCCCGGAUAAUUUAAGUGCUUUUGUUUGCUUUAUACCCCUAUUAAUGAAUGUUUCUAUCUUCUUAGCUAACUUCUCUCCCACCCCUCAUUGAAUGCACUUUCUGGGAGUAUAAUAACUGCUCUAUUGUUUUUUUUGUUUUAUGACAAGGGAAACCUGCAACCGCUAUCCUUUGGGUGCACACAGGGUAAAACCUCGGCUCAUAUGCAAUAGCUCGCAAAUCACAUACUCUAUCACUACCUUUAACUGAAAUUAGAGAUAGGUAUCUCCCGUAUUGAUUGAAUUUCAAAGCUAUAAAGAAGUUAGUUGAGAAAUCCCUGCAUCUCCAUGACUUGGUCGCUUUCCCUCUGAUCCCUGAAGCCUCAAGCCUCUGUUAGCCUUUUUCAGACCCAACCAAGUGCUCCCCUGCUAAGAACCAUUCUCCUCUUGUGAUGCCUAGCAUUUUCAACCCAGUCAUACCAUACUUCAGCUUUUGAUCUAGACUCUGUGAUGUCGUAAGACUUCCCCCAGAUCUGAAAUAAACUCUGUUGUCCAUCUGAACAACAAUGGGGUUAAAAAGGAGAGAAAGAAAGAAAGAGAGUGGCAUUCUGGUGAAAGAAGUCCACCGGAGAAAAGAAAAAACCAACCAAAGUCCAGAAGGAACUUCAGAAGAUUGUCGUGAAACUAGUGCCUGGGAGCAUACUUUAAAUCAUACUCACUCAGAUUUGUGCAUCUGCUAAAAGGAAUCAGGCCACACCCUAUUAUGUGUUGCAUUUUCGGCAUGCUAGUGGCCAUGAUUUGGAGAGGGAGGGACCUACUCAGAUUUCAACAUACACAGUUCCUUCCUGAUUAGAUCUGUAGAGAAACUGGUUACCAUGUCCACAUCAAUGGCAGAAACAACACCAAAUAGCAGAGGACUCUGGCAUCUAUAGAUUGUUAUCCUUUGUCUAUUUUUGUUGCAUAGGAAAAAUAUGAUUAGUGAUUUAUCUCCUAAUUUGCAUGUAUAAGUUAGCAAUGGCGGAGCUAGAAUUUUCAGUAUAUGAAGAAGUAAAUACAAGAAGAAGCUUAAGGGAGUUUAACAUGUACUAUAUAUAGUUUUUUUUAAUCAUGUAUAAAUAAUGUUAUUUUCCUUCGAAUGAGGUUUGGAACCCCCUCGGCCUACCUGGCUCUAGGGGCGGAGCCAACAUGAUGUUAGGGGGUUCAUCCAAACCCCCUUUGACGAAAAAUUACUCUGGUUAAAAUUAUUUUUUAUGUGUAAAUAGUAGAUGUUGAACCUCAUUUGGCUAGUUCGUGUCUUUACUUCUUCAUAUUUUAAAAUCCCUUAAUGAAAAUCUUGGAUCUACCACUGCUUGGCUCCACCCCUACAAGUUAGUUGAGUAGGAACAUUACCAAAGUUAGCUGAAGCCUAAAUGAUUGAUCAUAUCAAAUGCUUAGGUUCCUAAUGGCUAUAAUAUAAAUUGAAAUCAUGUGGAUCUAGAAAGCUAUGACCUUUAUCCCAAAAUCAGCAUACAACGACAACAAUUACAUUUCUAUGGGAAAUAUGUAAUACAACACGUAGUAACUAGUAAAUCGGAGUUCAUUCUUAAUGCAAUGGAAUCUCCAAUUCGUAUUAUACCAACUUCAUAGCCUCUUAUCACAGGGAAAGCAUAGUAACUGGUAAAUUGGAGUUCAUUCUAUAUGCAAUGGAAUCGCCAAUCGUAUUUUACCAGUAUAAAUCUGUGAAAGAGAACAGUUAGUUAUGUAUAAAUCGAGAGAGAUGGCGGUAGAUAGAAAAAGGAACUUACGAGUGGAUUUCACUGGAGAAGGAGAUCGGAAGGAGGAGGUCCGUGGCUCAAGUGAAGCAGUAAUAGAAAAGGGAAAACAGAUAGUAAAAAAAAUAUGACAACUUUGCCAACGUGAAGAAACUCCGGCGGAAAAAAAGAAACUCCACGUGAGCACAUAUAUACCUUUAAAAUACACUAUUAAAUAGUUCAGGGGGUAAAAAAUAUGGUAUUAAAUAGUUUACGGAGGUAAUAAGUCCUUAUGACAGUUUAGUAUCGCAAUAACAAAUUCAACCAAAGUUGGGUAUUUUUCAAACACUUAUCCCUAAAAAAAACAUUGUUUUGUGAAUGUUCAUGAACAAAAACAAGAUAGAGUAAAGUAUAAUCAACCUAAUUAUUUUUUCUUUGUUGAUGAUUUUAAUUUGACACAGAUUUUUAAAAGAAAUAGUACACAGACCUUAGUUUCACCUUGUGAAAAUAAAAUUAUUUUUGAAAGAUUGUCAACUCAAGUGAAGCAGUAAUAGAGAAGGAAAACGGAUAGUAAAAAAAAAUAUGACAACUAAAAGAAAAAUCAGUAUGGAGCAUAUAUGCAUGAAAUCGUCAUAUCAACAACAAAAUGUGAUCACCUAAAUAUAGUAAACAACAUAUAAUAACAAAUACUAAAAGUCAAAAGCUACGUAAAUAUGUUAAUAAUACGACAUACACGAUGCUCUAGACUAUCACCAAGUCAUAGACUACAUGAAUAGAUUAAUAUUAAGACAACGUCCGAUUAUAUUCUAACAUUUUAUCUUUAUUUGCGAUUUUCAUACCCUCCUAUCUAAAAUCAUAUUUGAUAAACUUGAUUUUAAUUAUCACAUUUAGAAUUUGUACGCCAUAAAGAUUUUUAAGACUCCCAAUACUGACCAAAAAGAAGCAACCAAAUUUGAAUUAGGUCCUAAUUGAAGUGUAAUAUGUUAAUAAAUAAUGUUCUAUUUUAUUUUAGGCCAUGCUAAAAUCACUACCCCACUUUCUUAAAUUAUUGCUAAAAUAAUGUAUGAUAAUUUGUUUGUUUGUAAAUGUGUGUAUAUAACACAAUUAUUCAUAUUGAUUUAUUCAUUUGGCAAAAGUUUGAUCCGAAAGUGAUUGGACGUGGAAUAACAAGUACUAUGGGUUAUAAAACAUUAUCAUUGCAAUGAGAUAAUAUAAAAUGUUUUAUGUUUUAUUUCACGUUUAUAAUAUAAUUAGGUAAAUUGUUCGUGAUUCGCGCGGUGGUGAACUACGUCAAUAAUCUACUUCUGAACAUUUGAUAAUAUAAGUGUUUUUGAGUGGGUAAAGCCCUACAAUAAAUUGUCAAGAAUAUUUUAUCCAAAGAUGAAAUGAAAUAUUUUUUAAUCUUAAAACAAAAAGAUUUUAUUCUAAUUGUUUAUGCAUUUGUUAUUAAUUCUUCAUUUUACUCUAGUUCUUCAUCACCAAAUUCUUUAGAAAAGAUAUGUAAAUGUUUCAUUGUCUAUAUUUGUAUUUUCAAAAAGUGGUACAAACAUUUUAUUCAUCAAUUGCGAGAGUUUUUCUCCUAUUCAAGGCCUCUACAUACAGAAUCUAAAUGUUAUACAUCUUAUGUAAUUUGUUUUAUACUUGAUAAGUUAAUUAAAAUAUAAAAGCGUAUAUCUUGGAGUUCAAUGAAAUAACGUAUGUCGCUCAAAUAAUUUGGAUUAAAUGCACUACAAGAAAACUGUGAAUUACAUGGAAAUUUUUCCUAGGGAAAAUUUUCUCAACUAUUUCAUGCGGAUGUCUUGCAAAAGUUUUAAAUUCCUCAAUAUUAGAAUAUAUUACCUAUGAAAUGUAUAUUUCCAACAAAUUCCGUAGGUAAAUUUGGCGCCAUGUUGCGCCAGACAUGAACUUGCGAUAUUACCUGGGAAAAAGUAAUGGCAAGUACAUUAUCUCUAGCUAAAUCCGCAGGUACAUGAACCAAAAAAUAUUUUAAAUCAUUUUUUAUUCCAUAGAAAAAUCCCCAGGUAAUCCAUCCUACAGAUUUUUCUGGAGAUAUUUUGGUGAAAAUUUAUGUGGGAAUUUUAUUACUUCGGAAAUUAUUUGGGGAUUAGUUGCUGUGAAAUUUGUUGGGAAUUUAUAUUUGGGGAUUUAUCUAGGAAUUUUAUUACUUGGGAAAUUAUUUGGGGAUUAAUUGUUGUGAAAUUUGCUGGGGAUUUAUAUUUGGGGAUUGUCCUGGGGAUUUUAUUACUUGAAAAAUUAUUUGGGAAAUACCUAAGAAUUUAAUUACCUGGGAAAAUAUUAAGGAAUUUUUUGAGAAUUUACGUAGGAAUUUCGUGACUUGAAUUAGAAUUAUAUAAAAUGAAAAAAAAUAAAAAAUUACUUGUAUUUCCAAUUGAUAUAUUUUUUUACAAGCAUUAAAAAUUAUAUAAUUUCUCUAUAGUAAGUUAUUAAAUGAUAUUUAUUUCUAAAUAUAUAAUUACAUAUUUUAAAAUAUAAUUAUUAAAAGAUAACUUUAAAUUAUAAAUACCUCACAUGUCUAAUAAGAUAUACUAUUAAUUGUUGAUUAUAACUUCCUUGCACAUUAAACUUAUAAAUAAAUUUAUAUUUUCAAUUAUUUAUUUAUAAGAACUUGGUACGUAUAAUUUAAUUUUUUUCUAUAUUUAAUAUGCUUAGUUAUUAUAUUAUCUCAUCGAAAGUAUAAGCAUAAAAUUUUCAUGAUAUGUUGUGUGGCAAUGAUUUAUUUUAAAUAUAUAAAUAAUUUUCAUGUUUCAUUUUUUAAGAAUUAAAUCACAUGAACUUUAGCUAAUAUUUUAAGAUAUAAUUCGUUACCAUAUUAAUAUGAGAUGACUUUAUAGUUCUUUUUAUGUAAUUUAUGAAUAUUAAAAUUGUAUUUUUAAUAUUUAAUUAAUUUAAUUUAAUUUAGCUUUAAAAAUUAAUCAAAUCGGAGAAGAACACCAAAAAGAAAUAUAAUAUCUUUGGUACUUCUUGUACCACAUCGAUGGAAGACCCUAAGAUAUUAGCAUAUAUAAUGCUAAGAGUUAGAAUAUUGGGAGAGUGGAGCAACUAUGUAUGGGUGGGCACUGGAUAGACAAUGGUAUUUAAUAUAGGUAAUUGGGAUUGGGAUUAAGGGUUAAUCAUUUAAUAUGGGUAUACAAUGGUAUUUAAUGUAGGUAACAAAGAAGAGAAGUGAAUGUGUAAUGAGUGGGAUAAAGACGGGUCUCUAACCAAGAAGAGGUGUAUAUGUGUAUGAGGUUGUAUAAACUAAAUAAUUAAUUAUGAGAUAAUAAUUACUAUUGCUUAAAAGAAAUUUCUUAAAAAAUUAUUAAAAUAUUUUCAUGCGGCUAUAUUUGUGAAAAAAAAUUGUAAGAAUAUUCCUAUUUUGUUACUUUUUACCAAAAUUAUUUUGGAUAUUUUUAGUAUUUUUUGCAAGAAAAUCCGCAAGUAAUUUACAUGCAAAAUAUAAAUCCCUAGGUAAAUUACUUGCGGAUUUUGAAAUUCGCAGGAUAUAAUUACCUAGGAAGGUUUUACCAUCAGAUUAUUUUUGGUAGGAAAAUCCGCACGAAACUAAGUUUCCUGCAAAUUUUCGUAUACAAUCCCUAGGAAAAUCCCCAAGUAAUCCACACUUUUCUUGUAGUGAUGAUGUCUUGGCAAGUUCCUUAUUCAAAAUCAUUCGCAAUCGAUGGCACUACUUUGAUAGCCAAAAAGUCAUAUUUUGUUGUUUAUGUUUCUAUCAAUAUGGUUAAAACUUUUUUUUUAAAAUGCAAUUUUUAAUCUAAUGUUUAUAAGGAGAUAAUUAUUUCUUUAAGAUUUGAUUAAUAUGGAUUCAUCCUACUUUGAGGGGUAAUUCAUUGACUCCAAUCCGAAAUUUGAACCCCAAACUUUGAUCAAAGUUGAGUACAAUACUUACCUUCCCACUACAUUCAUUUUUUUUGUCACUAAUCGAUUGAAUACCUCGAAAAGAUAGAAAGUUGAAUAACUAAAACUCCAAGGUAGUGUGGAACCACCACAACUUCUGAACACUCAAAAGUCCCUUCUUGACAUCCAAUGAAUCUUUUUGCCACUGAAAAAUCUAUAAAGAUCAAAGUCAUUCAAUUCACAAGUUUAAGAAUUCUAAUCUACAUGACACGAAUAGUCUAAUGAUUACAUCAAACUCUUGAUUAACAUAUCUUUACUUCAACAUAAUGAUCAAAAGCAUAAGCAUAAACAACAAAGUUUAAAACAUGUACUCAAAAACAACAAUUAAUAACAUAAGCAUAAAUUAAUGACGGUAAAAAAACAUAUCGGCCAGGAUCUAUAACAAUCAAAUGAAACAAAAAGGAAAAAAUGGAGCCCACUGAAUUCACAUUGUCCCCUUAAGGAAAUUAUUCCCCUCUAGUAUCUGAGUUUUAAAGGAAUAGAUCCUCUCAGGAUAGAAUGAUUUUAUUCACCAGUGUAUUGAUAUAAAAACAAUAGUGUCAGUGAGCCACUCAACAGGAGCAAAGUACGGAAAUAUUUAAUUGUGCAGAAGAAGAAGAAGUUCAGAAUCUUCGUUGUUUUAAAAUGAGAGGAAAUCCAUCUAUUUAUAGACAACAAAGGGUAGUGUGAACAAAUGUUUAUUGUGUCAUAUCGGAAAGGACAUAACUCUUUGAAAAAGUCACUAAUCUUUCAUAAAAGUUGCAACUCUUCAUAAAAGCUGCAACUCUUCGUAAAAGCCGCAACUCUUCAUAAAAAUCAUAACUCUUUAUAAAAGUCACAACUUUUCAUGAAAGGGAAGACUAAUUUUGAAAAUAAAUAAAUUAAAAGGGAAUCUUGGUUUGUGGUGGCAGCCACGUAGCUGGCCCAAGGGUUCUCUUUUAUAUAUAUAUAUAUAUAUAUAUAAUACAUAAUUUGUUGAAUAUUGUUGUUUGGAGAGACGAGCACAAUCGAUUUCACACAACUUGAAUUUUAUUAUAUCAAAGUAAGGACCCGCUUUGGUCUUACAAUUUUUACAGGCAACUCUCUCUUAUUUCUUACUCACUUGUUGUUUGUUCUCUUGCUUACUUUCUUGGUUGCUUUCUUUCUUGGUUGCUUACAACUCAAAUGGACCACCUCUAUUUAUAGAUGGUGAUGGAAGAAUCUAGCUAAGGGUUUUGCUACUAUAUUUUAGAAUGUUCUUCUAACUUUCUAUUUCUAGAACUACCUUUUCUAGAACAUCUCUAGACUUUUCUCUCUAGAAUACUCAUUCUAGAGCUCUUCCUUUAUUUCUUUAUAACUCUUGAAUAUUCUAGAUUCUUCUUUGAAAUGUCUUGGAGAUCAAUUAAGUUGGUGAUGAUUUCUUAACACUCCCCCUCAGCACCAACUUUAUUUUCUCUUUCAAUCAUUCCAAGCGCUUCUCGAAAUCUUAUAAACUUCAUGUUGUCCAGGCUCUUUGUGAAUAUGUCUACUACUUGCUCUUCUGUCUUGAUUUGCUUCAUUUCAAUUUUGCCUUGAAGAACUUUUUCUCGAAGAAAAUGAUGUACUUCAACAUGCUUCGUCCGGGAAUGAAAUACAGGAUUUUCAGCCAAACGAAUAGCUGACAAGUUGUCACAAUAUAGUGGUGCGAUAUCAUUUGAUGGUUGAUGCAAGUCUUUCAUGAGUUGUUUUAGCCAUGUGCUCUUUUGUGCUGCCAUCGUUCCUGCUCGAUAUUCUGAGUUGAAAGUGAAAAUUGGUUGUCUUUUUGUUGCACCAUGAUAUUGCGGCUGAUCUAAGAUUGAAAACAUAUUCGGUGGUUAAUCUUCGAGUAUCAUGGUCACCAGCAUAAUCCUCAUCACAGUAUCUGAUUAUCUUGUAGGGAACCCCUUUCAUAUAGAAUAGUCAAUAGUUCUUUUCACAUACCUUAAUAUCUUCAUGAUUGCUUCCAAAUGAGGCUUCUUUGGUUUCUACAUAGAUCGGCUAACUACUCCAACUGCGAAUGCAAUAUCUGGUCUAGUCAAUGUUAAGUAGAUAAGACUACCGACAAGUUGACGAUACAUUGUUUCUUCCUCCAAGUCUUUGCCUUCAUGGGAACAUAAUUUAGGUUCUAUCGGUGUAGAAGAUGUCUUGCAACCCAUCAUUCCAUAUUUUUGGAGUAGAUCUCUCGCGUACUUUUGUUGUCCAAAGAAUAAUCCAUCCUUUGUUUUUUCAACCUCAAGACCAAGGAAAUGUUUUAGUUCGCCCAACUCCUUCAUUUGAAAUCGUACCAUCAAAUUUCUUUACUUUGAUAGAUCUCAUCAAAGUCAUCUCCCGUGAUGAUUAAAUCAUCCACGUAGACUAAUAUGAUAGCUAACCUUCAUUCACGAGCUUUUAUGAAUAAGCUUGAAUCUGCUGGUGCCAUUUGAUAGCCACUUUGGAUCAGGAACUCGGCAAUUUUUCCGUACCAUGCCCGGGGGGCUUGUUUUAAACCAUACAAAACUUUCUUCAAUUUGCACACAUAAUCAGAAUUGACUCUAUUCACAAAGCCUAGUGGCUGAUCCAUGUAUAUUUCACGAUCCAAUUCUCCAUGAAGAAAAGCAUUUUUCACAUCCAUCUGCCAAAGUGUCCAAGACUUACUAGCUGCUAGAGCUAGUAACAUACGAACAGUAGUAAUUUUUGCCACGGGACUAAAUGUCUCGUCAUAGUCAAGAUUGUACUCUUGUGAGAAUCCCCGAGCUACUAAUCAUGUUUUAUACCGCUCGAUAGAUCCAUCAGGACGUGUUUUCAACUUAUAUACCCACUUACAUAAUAUGGGUUUAACAUCCAUACGUUUAGCCACUAACUCCUAAGUUUGGUUUAGCUUUAAGGCUGAAAUCUCCUCUUCCAUUGCCUUUCUCCAUUCACUGCUCUUCGAAGGUGGUAGGUUCCUUAACCUUAUCAACCUCAGCCAGUGCCGCAUUUAUAGACUUACUAUUUUGGCUUUUCACUCGUGUGGAUCUUCGUAGUUGAUGAGUUUCUUGUACUCCUUCUUGUAACUCUUCUGGAGUUUCACGAAUUCCAGUUUUCCAUGGGUUCUUAUUUUCUCCGCUUGAAGAUAUUUCUUUUGUAUGUGAUUCAAGUUUUUCACCUACCUCUUGUUGUAAUUCUGUUUUACUUCUUUGUCCUUCUUCUUCAGGCUUAUGUUGUAGCUUUUGCUCCAAUUCUAUUGAAUCUUGGCAAUGUGGCCUGUUCAGACCACCAUGAUGAUGCUUCAUCAAAUACCACAUUUCUUGACACAUAUGUCCGAUUUGUGGUAGGGUCACAACACUUCCAUCCUUUUCUUUGUUCGUCGUAUCCAGCAAAGAUGCAACGAACAAAUUUCUUAUCAAACUUGUUGCGGAGAUGAUCUGGCAUGAACACAUAGCACACACAACCAAAAAUUCGAAAGUGGCUUACGGUAGGAAUCAUCUUUUUUAAGUUUCUCAAAUGGUAAGAUGAAUCUCAAUCUUGCCUGCGGCAGCCUGUUGGUGAUGUGGACAACAGUCUUCAUGCAUUCUGCCCAAAACCUUGCUGGUACAUUUAUACUAUGUAACAUACUUCUGCAUAUCUCCGCCAAAUGUCUAUUUUUUCUUUCAGCCACUCCAUUUUGUUGUGGUGUAUUUGGACAAGUUAGUUGUCGUCUUAUCAACUUCUCUUUAAGAUAUUCAUUGAACUCUCGUGACGUGUAUUCUCCCCUGUUGUCCGUACAGAGACAUUUGAUUUUUCUUCCAAUAUCAUUCUCCACAGUAUAUUAAAACUCUUUAAACUUCUCAAAUACUUCAGAUUUCUCUUUUAAGAAGUGAAUCCAUACGUACCUUGAGAAGUCAUCAAUAAAUGUUACUAUGUAACGAUAACCGUUGAUGGAGGACUACUUUAUUGGUCCAAACACAUCUGAGUGUACUAGCUCAAAUGGCUCCUUCGCUUGAUACUUUGAUUCUCCAUAGGGAAGUUGAUGUGCUUUCCCAUAUUGACAUCCAGCACAUAUAGUGUCUCCUCUUAUCUCAAGCUUGGGAAGAACUUUUAAUUUUGAUUGUUGCAUCAUGAUUUUAGUUUGCUAUAGCUUACGUGCCCAAGACGUGCAUGUCAUAGAUCAGUUGUUUUAUUACUCAGCAUUUUCUCAACAUAAGCUGUCUCUGCUGACAUGACGUAGAUUGAUUCUAAUCUUCUCCCUUCCAUGAUUGGUGUGCUUGUAACUUUUAAGUUUCAAUAUACUUUUACAUCAUUUGGUCCAAACAAGACAUAGUUACUAGAAUUUGUUAGUUGCGAUACAGAUAAUAAGUUCUUCUUCAUACCUGGAACAUGGUAGACAUUUUGAAGUUACACUUGUCUUGAGCUGUGAUAAGGCACAAACACGAUAUUUCCAAUAUGAGUUAUUGGGAUUUUUGAAUUAUUUGUAGUCACUACAACUCAACCGCCUUUAUAUUCACUCAUGUUAAUGAGCUUUUUCUCAUUACCAGUCAUGUGAUUGGAGCAUCCUGAAUCAACGAUCCAAUCAUGUUCAUAAUCGACCAAUUUCUCACUCACAGUUGCAAGUGCAAUCUCCUCUUCUUUGUUAGAGUGACAUGUGAUAAGCUCCUCUUGUUGAUUAGUUUCUUCAACUACAUAAGAGGUCUCGAAAUCCCAAACUUCUUCUUAAUAUUUCUUAUUUUGAGUAGAAGUAGCUACAUUACCUUCAGCUUUCUUGUACCAGCAGUCUCUCGCAUAUUGUCCUUUCUUUCCACAAUUGUAGCACUUCUGCAUUUGCCGGUUGUUGAAGCCUUUUGCUUGCUUGUUUUGUUGUUGAGUUCUUUGAUGUUGAUUCUCUUGGUCUCCCAUUGGCCGUGAGCUUCUCUUCGCUUCUCUUUUUUGAUAGGUUUGCCUUUUGCUGAAGAGCGUCUUAUCUUCGUCUUUUAUAGUAAGACUUGAUAAUGGCUUCUCCAAAUCUUCUUUAUUUGCCAACAAAUUUUCCAACUCAGAUAAAGUUGGUUAUGUGGCCCACCCUCGUGUGGCAGUAAUUAUGCCUUUGUACUCCGGCCUUAGACCAUGAACAAUAAUUCUCCUCAUUCUUGUCUCUGUGAUAGCAUUCUCUGGAUCUAAUUUUGAUAUUUCAUCAGAUAAAGAUUUUACCUUUGAGAAGUAUUGACUAAUUGUCAUAUUCCGUUAAGAGAUCGACAAAAGGUCAUUUUCAAGCCUUUGUAAUCUCGUAUCAUUCUUCUUUGUAAAAAUCGUCGCCAAGGUGUCCCAAGCUUCUUUGGGUAUCUUGGCAUUCUUAAUCCGUUGUAGGAACUCAUCCUCGAUGGUUACAAUGAGAGCAUACAUGGCCUUUCCAGCUUUGACCUUCCACCUUUUUGCUACUUCAGCAUCUGUUGGUGGUAUGAUAUCUAAUCCACCGAUGAUAUCCCAUAAUUCUUGGCCGAGAAAGUAAUAUUGCAUUCUCGUGCUCCAUGAUCCGUAGUUGCUUGCGUUGAGCUUCUCAACGCUAUUGAGAGUGCUUGCAAAAUCCAUCAUUAAUUAGUGCCUCGCGAUUUGUAGCCUCCGACGGUAGCUUGUAGGAUCUCCUUUGAGUUACAACCCGACUCUGAUACCACUUGUUGAAUAUUGUUGUUUGGAGAGACGAGCACAACCAAUUUCUCACAACUUGAAUUUUAUUAUAUCAAAGUAAGGACCCACUUCGGUCUUACAAUUUUUACAGGCAACUCUCUUUUAUUUCUUACUCACUUGUUGUUUGUUCUCUUGCUUACUUUCUUGGUUGCUUACAACUCAAAUGGACCACCUCUAUUUAUAGGUGGUGAUGGAAGAAUCUAGCUAAGGAUUUUGCUUCUAUAUUCUAGAAUGUUCUUCUAACUUCCUAUUUCUAGAACAUCUCGGGUGUGUUUGGUAUGAAGGAAAAUGUUUUCCUGGAAAACAAGUUGAUUUUUGACUUAUUUUCUCAUGUUUGGUUGGUGAGUAUCGUAGAAAAUAUUUUUCGGAAAAGAUUUUUAGUGUUUGAUUUAUGAAUGAAAAAUAUUUUUGAGAAAUAUCUUUUAGUUUUACUAGAGUAGAAAAUAAUUUUUGAAAUUGAAAAUAUUUUUAAACAAACUUAAAUUUUUUUGAGGGGGUGGGGGGGUGAAAAAUUGAAAUUUUGAAGUUGAAAAUAUUAUUUUAAAAUAAACUUAAUUUUUUUCUUUUUGAAGGGGUUGGGGUUGAUAGGGGGAUGAUGGGAAGGGUGGGGCGAGGGUAGUAGGGUAAAAAAAUAAAAAAUUGAAAUUAGAAAUAUCUUUUAAAAAUAAUUUUUAAUAUUUUUUUGGGAGGGGUGGGGGUAGGGGGUGAGCGUAGGCGUGAGGGUGGGAUAAAAAAAUUAAAUUUAAAAACAAGCUUUAAAUUUUUUUUUCUUUUUGGGGGUGGUUGGGGGGCUGAUUUGAGGGUAGAGACAAAAUAAAUUUAUUUUUUCAAUAAAAAAGUAAUUGUAAUUUGAAAUUGAAAGAGAGUUUUGGAAAAUGUUUUCCUUAAAUUUUGAAGGGAAGUCAUUUUUUUUAAAUUUGAGAAAAAUGAGUUGAUUUGGAAAACAUUUUCCAAAACAUUUAACCCAACCAAACAUGAGAAAAUUGAAAAACAUUUCCUUCAUACCAAACACACCCCUCUAGACUUUUCUCUCUAGAAUACUCAUUCUAGAGCUCUUCCUUUAUUUCUUUAUAACUCUUGAAUAGUCUAGAUUCUUCUUUGAAAUGUCUUGGAGAUUAAUUAAGUUGGUGAUGUUUCUUAACAUGAUUUUCAGCUGGAAUUAGAUUUAUUAUUCUCACAACAUACUGAGAAAUCCAUAACAAAUAAGGUUGAAAUGAAAAUACAGUAAACUUAGGAGAAUCAAACAUACAGAAAUGAAGCAAACAAAGGGAGAUUACACUUAACAUAAUAAUGAAAAUUUAUUUCAAGAUUUAUUCAAACUCCAGCUUUCUUCAUUUUCGAGUGUCGACCUUCUAUAUUGACACACUGUUGGGAAUUCCUUUGCCUGUAAGUCCACCUUCACUUGUUGGGAAAAGCAACGUAUAUGGAGCGUUAACGGGGCCUGAUCUGUUUGUCAAUAUGUUGUCACCAUUCCUCUGUAUAAUCUGUUUUUCAAUGUCUGUCAACUUCUUUCCAAAUUUGUCGAAAGCAGCAAGUGGUUCUUUGUCCUUUGUCCAUUCAGGAGACUCUCGCUGUCCGAGGUAAAUCUCAUCUGUAGUAUGCCUUGACAAUAUCUCUAUGAGGGAAACACCAAGCAAUGUUUGUAAUUGAGCUGUGAUUGUUUUCAAGAACGCCUUAUCAGGGUUUUUCUUUAGCUCUUCAUAUUCAGGAGUUCCUGGUUCAGGCAUGAAUCUUCGACUUACUGUGGGGCGAUUUGGGAGGUAACCUGCAUAAGGAUAUUGCCCAAAAUUAACUGCUGCAUGAAGUGCAGAAGCUAUCCAUAUGAUGGUGGUACACGAAUCGAUUAGCUCUUGUGGUGUUUCCAUUUCAGGCCACCAUGGUUCAUUUUUCUUGUCACCAUGUCCCACUUCUCGGAGUUCCUUCCACCAGGCUUGGAGUUCAUUGUCUUUCAGAAUCUCUUCGUCCGAUCCAUAGUAGAAGCUGCAGUAGUCUGUCACCCAACUUUUGAUUGCAGACCAUAUUUCUAAGCCAUCAACAGCGUAUGGAUAGUCCUCUAUCAGUAAACGAACACCAUGAGGAGAACUCGAGUCCUCAACUGCUACUCCCCUGAAAUUGAAUUGGUCAUAUAAGCAAGAUACCAAUGUGAACAUCCUAAUGUUUUCGUAUAAUGUUAAUUUUGACAACACCUUAUUGUAUAGUACCUUUUAACAAGAUCAGCCGGAAGGGCUUGAUCAGGGAAAACCCAAUCUUUGUAAACGACAGCUGACAUUUCCAGGGCAAAUUUGGAUUGAAAAACUGUACGGAAAAACUGUACUCUCAAGAACCCCACCAGCAUUGAUUAGGAUCUGUCUUGCCAUAGCAUUAAUAUUCAUUGUGUCCCGGAAAUGAGGAUAUAGAAGCUUAUGAAUAGGGUGAAGCACACUUAGUUGCCUGUUUGUUGCAAUCACAAAUGGCUCGAUCACUGCAUGAGUAUUCAACCUGCGAAGAUGAUCAAACAUUUAGAUUAAUCGUACAAAGCAUGUGUUGAAUUAGUCAUUAUUAAGGACAUCACGAUGCACUAAAGCUCCCACUAUAUGCAGGUCUGAAGAAGGGUCGAACCACAAGGAUCUAUUGUACACAACCUUAUGAACUCAUAACAACUUUACCAAUUACUUCAAGGCUCCCCUUCGAGUUAGUUAUUAUUGUGUAUCAUGAAUCACUAUAGAAGUCGUAUGACAUAAAGGGAAUUACCAAUGACUAAUUAGUUGAUGAACACCAGAGUCAUUCACCGCAACAUAAGCUUUGGCCAAUUGCCAGAUAGAGCUCUCAACACCUUGAUCACUUGGAGUAUACACUUUGCUAGUAACACCAAAUUGAUCUCCAUCUGGAUGUGGCAAACUCAAUUCAAUUGCUAGUGGCUUCAAAGAUCCAUUAUCUUGCAAGAAGAGCAAAGUUCUCGAGGCAUAUGAUUUCGUUAUUGUAGUGUUUAUCCUCCUCAAAUAUGGUAUAAGAACAUCAUGAUGGUUCAAUAUGAAAAGUUUAUUAUUGUUCAUCGCCUGUCAAAUAACAUGUUAAAAUCCUUAUUUAGUACUUGUAACGAUUCGUAAUCAUACAAACUAGUGUGGAAUUUCGAGUAAAUACAUUACCUCAUCAACCGUUAGUCCAUCCAGCUUAUCCUCUAUGUGUUCUGCAGUAAUUGUACUGUUUUGAUUUCCAUAUGCUUCGGGAUCUAGCUUGCUUUUUGGAGGAAAUUCCUUGCAAAUUAAUCAAGAAACAAAGCAUCAAUACUCUUUAUCUACAAGAAGACUAUAUAGAUUAUAGACAAUCAAAAGUAACUCGAGACAAUUUCCUAAUCGCGAAGAAACCAACUUACUUGAAGUCUACUAAUUAUGAUAGGAUUAACUCCAGCUAGCAUUUCUCUUGCGAAUUCUUCAUCAGUCCUCCAUGCGGUUUUACUAUCUGCACAAUCAAUACUUAAAUCAUACAAACAUAUAAAAGUGAGUGAUCAUUAGCUAGAUUACUUCUUAUGAUGUAACAAUUUGUACCUUUAAUCACUAGAGGAGUUGGAAAUCUCAAUAUUCCUUCACCGUCUGUUCGAAGGAGUUCUUUCAUCAUCUCCAGAGGUAUAGCAGCAGUGAGAGCCUUAAAUAAAGGUCCUUGAGGAAGUUUGAUCCCUCCUUCAUAUAGUCUAAGUACAUCCUCAAAACUAUCGAACUCGUUAGGGGUACCAUCAAACAGGGCAUGUAAUUCAGGGAGGAUGAAUUGAACAAUGGAUUUCAAAGCAUAUGUUAGGAAGUCUGACAUCUUCAAGUGACCAAAACGCUCAUCUCUCGGUACAUAGAUGUCUAAGCUCAGAAUAAGUGGUAUCCUGCUUUCACUUUUAGGAUCUAUACAAAGCAAAAAACAAUAACAACAAUGUAACUGAUCAAAAAGUUGCUUUCAAUGAAACUAAAC